Molecule: long non-coding RNA, 44185 nt
Organism: Homo sapiens (human)
Lineage: Eukaryota; Metazoa; Chordata; Mammalia; Primates; Hominidae
Exons: 2
Source: RefSeq, a predicted model, not a curated record
CUCAAGCUAGUUUAUACUCAGCCUCCAGCAAAUAGUGAGUUACCACUUAAGUGUUCCUACAGUUAUUUCCUCUAGUAGCGCUCCUCCUAGUAAGCUGUGAUUUUGUGUCUCCAGUUUUCAGUGCAACUAUUUGCCCUGAGACCUCAGUUCUCUGGUGUAUCUAAGAAUUGUCCAUGUUCAAGUUUUCCACUAUUUUUCAUGUUGGGAGAGUGGGACUUCCGAGCUCUUUACAUGUUGCAACAGAAACCAGCAGUAUUAUCUCUUCAGUUAUUCUUUCUCUCUUCUUUUAGGACCCCAGUUAUGUGUAACUUCAUGCACUUGGGGAUGUCCCAGAGGUGCCAGAGAUUCUUUUCAUUUUUUUUUCAUAAUUUAUUCUUUUCCUCAGACCACAUAAUCUCAAUGUAUCUUUGAAUUUGCUGGGUCUUUUUUCUGCUCAUUUUUGUCAGCUGUGGACUCCUUACAUGAAUAUUUCCUUUCAGUUAUCAUACCUUUCAAUUCCAGAGUUUUAAUUUUGUUCCUUUUUGUGAUGUCUGUCUCUUUCUUGACAUUUUUUAUUUUGUGAGAGUUAAAGAAUUAAAGGAAAGUAUGAGCAUGAUGGUUUCCUUUAAAGUUUACGUCUUAAGUUCAACAUCUAGGCUUCAUCAGGGACAGCUUCUAUUGACUCCUUUUCCUGUGUAUGGUCUGUACAUUCCUAUAUCUUUGCAUGCUUCAUAUUUUGGUUAAACACUAUAAAUUUUAAAUUAUUUAAUGUGUAAACUUUGGAAGUUCAAAUUUGUUAUCCCCCCAGAGUAUCAUCCUGUUGAUAAGGCUGCUGUUACUUCGUAUAGUGACUUCUCUGGACUAAUCUCAUAAAGUUUAUUUUCUUCAUUGUGUGGGGACACUGAAAUCUCUGUUGGGUUUGAUUAGUGGUCAGUUGAUGAUUGGACACAAAUCCCUUUUACUAAGUCUCCCAUCCUUCUGUGAGGGGCUCUGUAUAUGUGUUGUGUAUGGCUCUUUCCUCGGCUUGUAUAUGGCCCGGUACAUGUGUGUGGAGUUCCAGAUACCCACUGUGGACAUCUCAUUUCACAGGUCUCCCAUUUAAAUUUUUGGCUGGACUCUUGGCUGCCCAACUGGUAUGGCCGACUUAAUAGCUGUGGUGUUAAUCAAUUGCAGCUGAUUGUUUUUGACAAAUGCCCUAGGGUAGAGGGCUUCUCCUGCUUGGUGAGCUCUGCAUGACAUCAAGUAAUGAUAAUGCCUUGUGAAUGGGGCUUCCCUGAGAGCUGUGAAGCAGGUCAGACAGUGACAGUGCUCCAGAGAGGGCGCUUUUGGGGAAGUCUGAACUGGGUCUGCUCCCUCUGGUGGCUACAGGACUACACAUUUUCACAUUGUUAGGGAGGCUGCUGGUUCUUAGCCUACUGUGAAUGGAGCUUAGGAGAGAGGGAUGGAGUAGACCAAGUUAAAAUGCCAUGAACCAAGCCUUUCUAGCCAAGAUUCAGCAGCUUUCCUAAGAUAAUGCUUUAGAUUGUUGUACAGCUUUGGUUAAUUUUCAGAAUUUUCAAAAAAGUUGAUUUUGAAAAUUGUGGCAGCAUUUUCAUUGUUUUUAUGCAUGGGAGCGUUUCCACAGAUCUUCACUCCACCAUUCUGAGAGUGCCCCCAACUUCGAAUGGAUGAAUUUUUAUAACAAGUGAAAAAGUAAGUCCCUGAAGGUUACAUACAGCCUUUACCCAUUUUAUCAACUUAGAAACAAUGAAAAGAACGUAUGUACUUAUAAAUACAUAAAAAUAUACACAGUAUUUGUAUUACACAAAAAUAGAUAAACAUAAAACUAUAAAAAGUAAAGUACAGGAUUCUGGAUAGUGGUUACCUCAGAUGGUGGCAGACCAAAGGAUGGGAGUGGGGGUUACCUAGAAAUAUAUGUGUCAUAAUUAAGGUCCAGUUUUAUUUUGUAGUUGGUGGGUUCAUGGAUUCUUAUGGCGUAAUUAAAAAUAUAUACACAGGCAAAAACAUUUUAUGGUUGUGUUUGCCUUCAUGUUAACACAUGAGAUGAGGAAUCUAUUAUGCAACAGAGCUUUAUAAAGGAGCUUCAACCUCAGUUUUCAAAGCCAUUCUUACGGCCAGAGGAAUUGCUUAUGGAGCUUAUCUCUACCCAGUCUCGUGUAGGUCUGCCUCAGCUGGCCGAACUCCAGUGUCAGGACAGGACAGUGAUGAUGAGAAGGGAAGGGACAGCAGCCAGUGCCAGUUCGAGAUGAGUAGUCAUCUAAUACUGCCUCUGCGUGGGUCCCUGCUGCCAUCCGCAGCCUCAUAGCCCUCAGCUCCGUAAUGUGUCCUGAUGGAUUUAGAAGAUACAUAGGGAGCUGUCAUUGUGAGUCUGAAAAAUAUACAGAUCACGCUUCACUUACUAAAAUCCAUACUUGAUGAUGUCAGCCACUUACACGAGCAUUCAAGAGGUCUUCUAGAAUAAUCACAUGACAAGAUUUGGGGGAAUACACAGAAUUCCAAUCAAGAUGAGUUGAGCAUAAUAUCAUGGAGGCAGGAUCAGAAUGGAAAGGUAACUGAUAACUUGGAAGUUUAAACAAUUACAAUUUUCCUGUUUACUGUGUGACAAGAGCAUUAUGGGGCCUUGAAAAUGGCAGUGUCACCACUGGGUAAUAUAUUUUAUUCAAAGACUUUUUGAGAGAGAGCAUCUGUAGAGUCAAAUGGUACUUGCCAAACUAUUCCAUGUAUGGAACCCAUAGGACUUCAUAAUUUUAUGGUUUGCUGGGGGAAAAUAACAAGACCACUCAUGGCCCAGGUGAGUCUUGAAGAGGCUGUGGCCACAAUAUACUGAGCCAGCCGUAGUUCACUGGAUGGGAAGACCCAAGUUUGACUUCCAGAUUUACUUCUUACUUGCACUUUGGGCAGUUACAUUACUUCUCUGAGCCUUAUUUUUUUUUUUUAUUAUGGAGAUAAUGCUACUGAUGUGUAAUAAUUUUGUAUCUACUAGUAUUAGAAUGUAUGAAUUACCCCUUAAUUUUUCAAAUACUUAAACUGUUAACAUCUGAAUCUUGGCCAAAAUGAGCACAAAUGGCAUUUGUAUAAAUGCCUAGUUAUUAAAUGUUAUCACUAUUUAACUAUCUGGAUUUGAAGACCAGUGCAUGGCGUUUGCUAGGAGUUUAUAUCAUGUUCUUACGUAUGUGUGUAGCUGUCUUUACUGCAUCUGUCGAUUAGGAGGUAAGAACACCUGCUGAAUAUGUACCUUGAGCUAGCUAUUGUGGGAGAUAUAAAAGAAGCACAAAACUGGAUCCUGUCCUCAUGGAACUCAAUCUGGUUUCUGAGGUUUAGCUUUUAUGUGACUCACAGAUAGAGCAAUGUCACAGAAAAUAAUAUGCGGAAAAUAAAUGCAAAAAGAACUUGAGAAAGCUUCAUGUGGCUCAGUAUCCUGCACUCAGUAGGAUAUGUGGAGGAUAUAUAUAAAAUCUAAUUGAGAUUCUUAGGAAAGGCUUUAAUGAAGACUGGAGAAUGAAUGAUAUCUGUUAUAAAGGAUGGUGAAGCUUGGCUAUUCAGAGAGUAAUGGAGGAGGUACUUCAGUAGUUUUUAUUGUGUCUGCCCAAGAAAUUCACUCGGAAGCACAAUGUUUAUUUCUGAAGAGGCAAAGACCAAGUUUUAGAAAAUAAAGUUCUCCUAAAUACUAUUAUAAAGUUUGAGUAUUUCUAUUAUGAUUUUAUGACUUCCCAUCUGUGGUAGGUGUUUUAUUGAAAUUAUUUGAAUGUUAUCAAGCUGUGACAACAAUGCUUUAAAGGUCAUACACAAAGCACAAUUAAAUUUCCCAAGUGAAAUAAGAAUGUGCAUUGUGAAAGGCAGAGAAUUUCAAGUAGUUCAGUUUUGUUGUUGCUUUUUUUCAUCUGGGCCAUUUUUGAGGUGUUUAAAUCAAAAAGUUGUUUUUCUUCUUGAUUGCAGUUUUCCCUUAGUUAUUUGUGUAGCUUAAAAAUGGAAACCAAUGUGUUUAAGUUGCAAUAUUUUUGAGUCUAUUAGUUAAUAUAAACUUUAUUCUACACUCAACAGUAGAUUGCAUUAUAGCUAUGUGGAAUGUAAAGAUUAUUUUGCACUUAUAUAAAUGUGAUAGCUUCUGAUUGAUACAGAUUUAAUUAUGCAAACUUUGGCUUAUUAUGAAUUAGAUGAAACAUUUCUAUUCCUCUGUUUCUUUCUUUCUUUCUUUUUUUGAGACAGAGUUUCACUCUGGAGUGCAGUGGUGCUAUCUCGGCUCACUGCAACCUCUGCCUCCCGGGUUCAAGUGAUUCUCCUGCCUCAGCCUUCCCAGUAGCUGGGAUUACAGCUGCAUGCCACCACACCCAGCUAAUUUUGUAUUUUUAGUAGAAACAGGGUUUCUCCGUGUUGAUCAGGCUGGUCUUGAACUCCUGACCUCAGGUGAUCUGCCCGCCUUAGCCUCCCAAAGUGUUGGGAUUACAGGUGUGAGUCACCAUGCCUGACCUAUACUUCUGUUUCUUAUGAGCUUACUUAUUAGAAGAUCUCUAAGAUUCCUGUAAUUUAAAAUUUUGUAAUUUCAUUUCAUUUUACCCAUUUACAUCAUUAAAGUGAUGAAUGGUUGCUUCUUUCAAAUGGUGGGAAAUGAAUUUUGGAGAAUUGUUAGUUAUUAUUGCUCAUUUAAGGUUAUUUGAACGUUUUGACUAUUUGAUGGUGUUUUUUGUUUGAUUUGUGAUGCUGACUCAUAAAUACCAUGAAAAACAGGUCUUUUUGUUCUAACCGAAAGAGGGAUUAUUUAGCAGCUUAAUGACUUUGGUAAAUAAAAGUUUAUUUGCACCUAUGAGAAAGAUGACAGGUAAUAUCUAGAUAUCUGAGUAAAGAGUAAAGAGAGCACAAAUACAAUAAGAUAUGGAGACUCAGUAUCCUAUCAGCUUUUUGAUGUAAAAUGGUACAGUAGUUACUACCUAAGAGAAUAGUCUAUUUCCAUGCUGGUUGCUCACUUGUGUGCUCUUCUGAAAGAGUGAGGGCACUGUGCGUCUGACUGGAUACUGGGGUACUCUGUUUCCAAGCUGCAUUACAGGGAUUUGAAAUAUCUUACAUAUAUAUAUAUAUAUAUAUAUAUAUAUAUAUAUAUAUAUAUAUAAUAUAUAUAUUUAUUUAUAUUAUAUAUAUAUUUAUUUAUUCCAUAUACAGGCAUACCUUGGAGAUAUUGCAGGUUAGGGUCCAGACCAUUGCAAUAAAGUGAAUCACACAAAUUUUGUGGUUUCCCAGUGCAUAUAAAAGUUGUGUUUAUGCUAUUUUGUAGUCUGUUAAGUGAGCAAUAGCAUUAUGGCUAACAAGAGUACAUACCUUAAUUAAACAUUUUCUAAAAAAUGCCUGCACAGAGACGUGAAGUGAGCUGAUGCUAUUGGAAAAAUGGCAUCAAUAGACUUGCUGGACAUGGGCUGCCACAAACCUCCAAAAUUUGUAAUUUUACAAAUUAAAGCCCUCAAUUUGAAAAACAUAAUAUCUGUGAAGCACAAGAAAGCUAAGUGCAGUAAGACAAGGUGUGCCUAUAUAUGUUUCUGUGUAUAUUUAAAUAACUUAUAUUAAUAGCUGCAAACAGUAGAUUUCUUCCGGUGUAUGGCUUUGUCAUUGUUAUCACUGAUUUGUAAUAAUUUACCUCUUUUUUGUAUGUUUUAUUAUUUUCUGCCAUGGUUGAUAAACAAGUUAAUUUACUCUCAGAACAGAGAAUCUGCAGUAUUAUUAUUAAUAGUGACUGUUGACUUCUUUUGUCAUCUAAACAACUUGUUAGUCUGCCCUUAGGCUUGACAUUAUUUUUGUUGUGAAAGAAUAUUCAGUAAAAAGUUUUGACAUGUUUAAAAUCAUUAAAUACUUCCAAACUGGUUUGGAAAGCUUCUCUGGGCUGAAAGCCAGUUGAUUCUUAUCAGUCUUUUUGCAUGACUGAAGUCAAUUACUUCAGAGCUUGAACAACUGCAGCCUUGGUAAAUGGUCCAGUACUGUCCAGUAGUACAAUAUGGGAGGCUUUUAAAUGCUACUGUAAUUGGUAGUUUAACAGAUGUGUUUUGGUUGGACAAGAAUGUAAAAGCUAUUUUGGAGCAUUUUCAAAGGCAUGAAGUUUAAAAUAAUGUAAUGUUAAUUUUGUGCUCUGUAAUGUAUAUCGUAAGAUUGAGGUCUUAAUGUUUGUAUUAAGUAAGUGAAAAUAUUCAAAUGAAACUUGUGUAGAAAAGGAACUGCCUGUGUUCAGAAAGAUUCUGAACAAAAACAAGUGAAUUUUCAGAACUGAACUAACAGUUGCCAGAGGGUGUGGGUUCUGACGAUGUCCUACCUGAGGCAGGCUUUGUGACUUUGGAAAGCCUUGGUUUUCUUAUUUUUAAAGAGGAUCUAGUCCAACACUGGUCUACUCAGACUUCCUCAUUUGUAAAAAAAAACCAAAAAAAAAAACAAAAACAAAAACAAAAAACACUUUCCUUAAUCUUGGAAUGCUUUUCACAAGAACUAAGUGUGGCAUAUUGGUGGCUGUAUGAGUACUCUGGUAUUAUAGGAGUUGAAGUGUGAGGUGGAGAGUAAGAGUAACUGGGGGUAAAACUUAGACCCAAUGUGUCCAGAAGAUUCAGAGCCUUAUCACUGCACAAAGGAGCACAGAUUUUAAACACUGAAGUGCCCAAGUUGCAUGCAAACAGGCUGUGGGCUGACCACCGGUUUUUGUAUUUAUUCUGAAUAUAGUAUGCCACAAAAUUUGAAUGUAUAUGCUUUUACAGAUCUCUGUGCUCUCUCUAGCUCCCCCAAAAUCUCUGCCUGUCUUUAGUUUCAUGCUAGACUGUUUUAUCUGUUUGUUGCCUUUGAAAGCUUUUGGGUUUACCCCAUGCUGGAGUAACAUGUAGAUCUAGAAGGAUUUUGAGCAGGAGGUAGUGUUAUCAGAUAUGGUUAUAAGGAAAGCUCACUUUAGCAAUAGAGCUGACACAGUAGUAGCAGGUAGUGAAUUCUGCAAGAGAAUUAAUGGACACUAGUCAUCUUGAUUGUACUUAGUUAUUUACUGCUUCAGUGUAGUUCUGUUGUGCUUAAUUUUCUUUUCUUUUCUUUCUUUCUUUUUUUUUUUUUUUUUUGAGAGAGUCUUGCUUUGUCGCCCAGGCUAUAGUGCAGUGGCAUGUUCUCAGCUCACUGCAACCUCUGCCUCCCAGGUUCAAGUGAUUCUUCUGCAUCAGCCUCCUGAGUAGGUGGGAUUACAGGCAUACCUCACUAUGCCCAGCUAAUUUUUGUAUUUUUAGUGGAGACAGGGUUUCGCCAUAUUGCUCAGGCUGGUCUCAAACUCCUGACCUCAAGUGAUCCACCUGCCUUGGCCUCCCAAAGUGCUGGGAUUACAGGCGUGAGCCACCGCUCCUCGUCUGUUGUGCUUAAUUUUCUAAACAAACUCUAGAACAAGUUAAGUGGUUAAUCCACGUGAUUUUUGUUCUCAUUUAAAAUCCUAUGCAUUCAAAAUGUGAACUCCAUUACCAUCUCUCUGAUCCGCCCUUGGCAUAGAAUUUGGAUGUGUAUAUUACACUGGACUCUUGGCUUUAAAAACCGUCUAUCUGUAUCUGUGGGAAAGCUUUUCAGAUAGCCCAGACAAUAUAAAUAGCCCUAGAUUUACCCUUAAGUAACAAAUGUGUUUCUUUCUGUGGAGUUACUCGUUGUGUCUGAGGGAUCCUCCCUGGGUUAUUUUUUUCCUCUCCAAUGGACUGGCUUGGCAUAUGAUUGUCAAGAACAGGCACUCUGGUCGGACAGACCUUGUUUAAAUCUUCUCUCUCUCUCCAACUGUGGGCCAGUUCGUUAAUCUACUUGAGCUUUGGUUAGUUAUUCUAUAGAUCGUUUUGUGGAUUAAGUGAAACAUCAUACUGAAAACACUUAGUUUUAUCAUCCAGACCAGGGCACUAAACGAGAAUAAACCAACCUCCUAGUUUUUGGAUGUGUUUGACACGAGGGGAUGUUUAGGGGAAAAUAAUAUUUGACCAUCAGACUUUUUGAAUGCUGGAGAAAGCAUGCACAAUGUCCAUGUAGGAACAUACCCAUAUAUACAGGAGACUUAAACAUGUGCGUGUAUACAUCCAUAUACACAAAAUGAAUUUAGGAAGUUAAUUGAAUCGAGGAGUUUCUAUUUUAUAAGAUAAAUGUGAACAGUACAUUUGUAAUGUAAGCAGUCUACUUUUUUACUCAAACAAGCAGAAAAUAUCCUUUUUUAGUUUUAAACUCUUUGUAGACAAGAUUGAAUAAACUAGAGUGGAUGAGGCACAGAGAAUUGGUUGCCAAUGGGAUCAAGAAUGCUAGAGGAAAGGGCAGAGAUUAUCCUUUCACCCAGAAUUGCUCUGUCUCUCCCUUACUAGGUAGGAAAACAAACAAAUAACAGAGACAAGGGCUACUGCUCUGCACUAAUGAUGCGUGGGGUGAAAGAAGUCCUUGCACACUGGCUCCUCUUUCCUGCUUCGUUCACAACCUAUUCAGCACUUUCUGGAACUUUGCGUGAAAAAUUUCAUAGAUCCCAGCAGGAAUUUUGUAAAACACAUAAUCUUUGCUCAUAGCCAUUACCCAAUGUUGUGUUCCUUCAGGGGCUGAUUGAAAACAGAGCUUUCACAAGGUCUCUUGCAUGAUGCUAGCCUUCAUGGCAUUUGCAUCCUGCCAAGUGAUACUUCUGGUGACCAUCCUGCCAAGUGACACUUUUGGUGACAGUGCCUUGGUUGACUGGUCUCAGCAACCUGCUUUAAUCUCUGCAAUUAAAAGGUAUGAAUGAGUGAACCAGUAAAAUGAAGGAAAAAAUCAACAUAGUGGCGGGAUACUUACAUCCAGAAAUAUGUUAUCUAAGGGUGUGAUACUGGGCAGCCAGCUUUCAUUUAAGAAAUUAGACGUAUUUUUAGGAAACCAGCUUUCUGCUAGUGACCUACAUUAUAAAAUAUUAUAAACUCCCAAGCUGGAUACUAUAAAUUGAAGAUGAAGUUCUUUCAUUUUGCAGUUACACAAUGGAAUAUUAUGUGUCAGGUACUGUUCUAGGCAUUGGGUAUACAAGGAUAACUAAGAAUUUGUCCUUCUCCUCAAGGAGUUCCCACUUUUGUGGCAGAGAGGGCCUUGAAAACAAAUCAUUUAACUGCCACUUACUGAGUGACUAGCACAGGUGAGGCAUCCUACCAGGCUCUGGAGAAAGAGGGAAAUAUAGCCCUGCUCUCAGCAAACACAGGUGGAUGAGAAGGGUAUAAGCAGGGGGCUGGGAAGCAGAGAGAGAGAGAACCUAAAAAGACUUAGGCAAAGGCGAGUGUAUGAUAAAAUGGAGAACGCCAUAGUUCAUUCUUUCAUUUUUUUUUUUGAAGUAGAGUCUUGCUGUCACCCAGGCUGGAAUGCAGUGGUGCGGUCUCGGCUUACUGCCACAUCUGCCUCCCAGGUUCAAGCAAUUCUUGUGCCUCAGUCUCCUGAGUAGCUGGGACUACAGAUAUGUGCCACCAUGCCUGGCCAAUUUUUUUUUUCAUAAUUUUAGUAGAGAUGGGGUUUCACUAUGUUGGCCAGGUUGAUCUUGAACUCCUGACCUCAAGUGAUAUGCCUGCUGUGGCCUCCCAAAGUGGCUGGGAUUACAGGCAGAAGCCAUGGUGCUUGGCCAGUUCAUCCUUUAAUUUUGGCUCUAAUAAAUUCACUGUAUGACUAAAAUGUUACUUUUUCUUGAUGUUAUUAUUAAUCCUGUUUAAAAUUAGAGCAUUGGCUUUAAUUAUUUUUAAAUUUAGACACUGGUUAUUAUUUCUAAAGGAAGUUAUAAACAAAAUUUCAUACAGCAUGCCAUUUGACAAAUUAAUGAAGAAAUAUUUAAUACAUGUGAGUAUCUCAUUUGUUUUGUUAUUCAAGGGGAUUUUAGCUUAUUGCUUUUUGCUUUCUGUAUGUUGAACUGAUAUUCUUUUUGGGCACCUGUUUGUAUAAACGUAUCAAUUUGACCUGUACUUGAAUUAACUGUUUAUUUUUUAUAUGUUGGACAGUACUACAAAUUGCUCUAUUUAUGAACUGUAUGUUUUUCUUCAAUAUGCAGUUUGGAAUCCUGCUGUUGGAACCUUAUUUGCUUCUGUAUGCUCACCCUUAUUCACUAAUGUUUGAUAAUAAUGCAUUAUAAAAUAGCAGUGCUACUUCUUUAUCAAAGGCUUGCAGUAUUUAUUUAGCAUUUGCAGUUUCGAAAUAAUUAAACAAUGCUGAUGUACAGUUCUUAUUGCAUUUCAAAAACCUAACCAGUUAAUUAGCUUAAGUGGUUCUCUCAGCCCUAUUGACAGUUGGAGACACAUAGUGCUGGCUUGUCAGGCUGCUAAAAUGAAACAUAAGAAUGGCAUAACUGUGGUUAGCUUCUUUUCCCCCUCACCCUUGAGAUAUGAGUUGGCUUUCUUUUGUGUGAGAUAAAAACAAAACCAGAUCAUAUGAACUGACACUUCUGCUUCAGAUUAACAUGAGCCUUGUUAUUCAAUUUCAUGUUGGUGUUUCUACACUCCUUUGCCUCACUGAGAUUUCAUUAAUCCUCAUAUCCUUAAUCGCCUCCCCUUUCCCUUAUGAUGGUCUGUUUUAAGAUUCUAUUAUGGUUUUUUUUUUUUUUUUGGAUGCCUUUGAGGCCAUCUGAACAAUACUCUUGGUUAACCUGAGAAUGGAUUACAAUCUGAUCACAUACUUACUGCUGUGUUUGUGUCUCGCUGCCUGUACAGUCAGGUGGCUGUUCUGCCUCUUCACCCUUGGCUGACUUUCACCCAUGGACUUUGAAGUGUUACUGCUUCUAUUUUCAUCAAAUUUUAUACAAAUUACACCGUUUUUCCGCAAAUGUACAUUUAGUGAAGUUUGUUUGGCUCCAGAAUCCAGUCCUUUUGCAGGACAGGAGCAGAGGAAAUGGCAGUGAAGGAGAGGGAAGUCCACGUAGGAAGAAAUCCCAAGACUGGAGGUGGAUUGGAGACAGCAACAGAAGAGAAGAGCGUUGGGGAUGGCUCUGAGUUGAAGCUAGGUGACUGUUGACCCAGAGAAAGAAGUUGAGAGGAGAACCACGCUUUGUAUUUAGGUGGGCUGUGGUGGGGUGGAGGGGAUUGAGGUGUGGAGUUUGAUUUUUGACAUUCUUGUGUUUGUGUUGGUAAGACACCUUGUGGAACUCUCCUAGCAGAGUUUAAGCGAAUGAGCGUAUAUAUUUGAUGAGGUGUAUAUUUGAGAGUGACAGCACAGAGGUGAUCAUAACAGGAGCCACUAUUUGUUGAGUGCAUACUAGCUACAGUGAUAAGUGCUUCACAGACAUGCUGUCUGUGCUUCAAUGUCCUCACCUGUAAAAGGGAUUUAAUAGUAGGAUUCUUGUGAGAAUGAAAUGAAUUGAUAUAUAUAAAGUCCAUAACAAUGUCUGGCACAUAAUAAGUAAUACUUAAGUGUUAUCAUAAUCACAUUUUAAUUCAGUAUCCCUUUGGAAAGAGGUAUUAUUGCAGGUUGAACAUCCCUAAUCUGAAACAUUUUGAGCACUGACAUGACACCUCAAAGUGGAAAAUUCUACACCUGACCUCAUUUGAUGGGUCACAGUCAAAACUUCAUUUCGCGCACAACAUUAUUAAAAAUAUAUAAAGUUAGCUUCAGGCUGUGUGUAAGGUGUUUAUGAAACACCUUAUGAAUUGAAUUUCAUAUUAGACCUGUGUCCCAUCUUCAAGAUACCGCAUUAUGUAUAUGCAAAUAUUCAAAAAUCUGAAAAUAUCAGAAAUCAAUCACUUCUGGUUUGAGACGUUUUGGACAAAGGAUACUCAAUUUGUGUACACAUCUUAUAUGGGGGAAGCUGUGACUGGAGCAAUGUAACUACUCUGCCAAAGGUUGCAUAACUCAUAAGUGGCAGGUGAAAUGAUAUCUUUUUUUUUUUUUUUUUUUUUUUUUGGAGAAGGAGUCUUGCUCUGUCGCCUAGGCUGGAGUGCAGUGGCACGAUCUCAGCUUACUGCAACCUCCGCCUCCCAGGUUCAAGCAGUUCUCUUGCCUCAGCCUUCUAAGUAGCUGGGGUUACAGGCACACACUACCAUGCCCAACUAAUUUUUGUAUUUUCAGUAGAGACAGGCUUUCACCAUUUUGGCCAUGCUGGUCUCGAACUCCUGACCUCAGGUGAUCCGCCUGCCUCGGCCUCCCACGGUGCUGGGAUUACAUGUUUGAGCUACCACGCCCAGCCCAAACCAUAUUCUUAACUCUGCUUGUCUCUCACCUGCCUUUGUGGAAAUAAACACCUCAACAGAGGCUUCAUGGUGUAGAGGAAAGACAGGACAAAAUACCUAACACACAAGGAAGCUGUUUUGCUUAUUAAAUGAACAAUAUGCUUUUAAAUCGUGUAAGAAGAGCUUUGUAAUGAAAAUCAUCAUUAUAAGAAAGAAAAACUUACAGAAAGGUAGGAGUGAGGCUUGGUAUUUGAGCUCCUGCGGAAGACCAAGAGGGAGAAGGGAAGAUCAGUGUAGGGCAAAGCAAAUCCAAGAGAGCCGGGAAGAUAAGAGGAAGAAUCAUGUAGUUUCUGCAUUUACGGACAAAAGCGCUUCCAAAAGUACAUAAGGGUUGAUGCUAUCAAGUGCUGCAUGGAGGUCAUUGAGAGUGAGAACUAAGAAAAGGCAGUUGGAGUCACAUUUUGGUGUUAACCAGAUUAAAUUUCCUUUUGGAGCAAAAACGGUUGACUACACAUACAGUUAUAAGAAUCAGGAACAUAUGAUCCAAUAACAUAGAUGAAUCAGGAACUGAAAUUUGGGGUGUAGAUUUAUUCCUUUGACUUUCUCUCCCUUUUUCAGUUCAUGUUUUACCAAUAGAGUAUUCUGGUAGCAGCACUGUCUGACAUUUGUCAGCUUAAUUAGAGAUCAGUUACAAACUUGGCUAUCUUAUGGAUCUGUGAUACUUCCCAGCAAAUCUGAAAUGCAAUACGGGCACUGACAUGAAAUGAUGAAAAAUAUGCUAAUUUUAACCUGAAAAAGCUCCCUAUUAAUGCAGCAAUUUCUCUUAUUCAUACUAAUUCUCAUUUUUUUUUCUGCAUCCUUUGUGUCUAGUCUCUCCACAAUUGAAAAGCUGUUUUGACCACCACUUAAGAGCAAUAGACUAUAAAUUCUGGAGUUUAAUUUGUUUAAUGUCUGUGAGGGCUUGAUGGGGUUGGGACUUUGUUCACUAGGUAUGAACCCAUUGCCUAGAAAUCUGAAGAAGGGUAUAUUGCAGGUUCUUACGGGUAUUCCUAGGAAGAAGAAAUGAUUUCCAAACAGAAUUAGCAUGUAGAGGAGAAACGCACAAAGAAAAGGAGAUUUGAUUUCCACAAUGUAAGGAAAUGUAAAAUUUCAUUAGAAGAAAGGGAAAGAGGACAUUGCCAGCAAAGAUGGAGAGAAAGAAGGCGUGUUUAAAUAAGCUGGUUUCCAAUUUAGCUGAAACAUUUGAAAGUAAACAGAAGUAGAGCUAGAUUUAGGGGUGUAAGAUGUGGGCAAUUAAUACAUUUAUAUGGCUCAAAAUUUGAAGAGUUGGAAAGCAUCUACAGUGAAAAGCCCCUUUUCCUGCCCCAUUUCCUCAGCCACUCAGGCUAUUCCCCAGAGUCACUGUGCAUAAUUACAUAUAUAAUACAAACAUGUAUACUAUUUCUCUUCCCUCUUUUAUUUUUCCAAAAUGGUAUCAAACUGUAUAUAUUCUUCUGCACCUUGCCUUUUUUCUCACUCAACAUGUUUCUUGGAGCUGACUCUCAAGCAGUUUGUGACUAUGUAAUUAGGACAUAGGCAGCUCCUGCUUUUUUUGUUAAAUGGCACUGCAAAAUGUUCCUUUAUGUGUUUAUACCAUAAUUUAUUUAACCAGUCUCUUGUUCAUGGACAUUAUAACCUUUUGCUCUUACGCAGAGUGCUGCAAAGUGAGCAGUCUUUUCCACGUGUCAUUUCACACAUGUGCAAGUAAAGCUGUAGGAUAAAUUCCUAGAAUGGCUGGAUUAAAAGGCAGGGGCAGUUACGAUUUUGAAAGAUGUAGCCAGGUGGCCUUCUCCAUAGGUUGCGAGUGUAUGAAAGACUUACUUCCAAGCCAGUCUCUUCUAUGCUGCCUGCUAUAACUACCAAUUAGGAAUUUAUUUGGGCUAAUAAGUAACCCAUGCCUGGAAGAUUUAAGGAAUGUGACCUUCCUAAUGCAUAUUAUUUUUAAUCACUGUGCUUUCAACCUAAUGACCAGUUGAGAUUAAGCCACGUGGUACAUAUUUAUUGCAAACCUACUAUUUGGUUCUAGGGAAUCAGCAAGGAGCAAGGUGUUACUUCUCUCUUGGAGUUUAUAUUCUGGUAAAUAAACAAGAUUAUUCCAGAGAGUGAUAAAUACUGUGAAAAUAAUACACAUGACAAUAUAAUUGUAACUUGGCAGGGGGCAGGCUAAUUAGAAGGAGUAUACUGGUUAUGGAAGGCCCCCUGAGGAAGUGAUAUUUCAGCUAAACCUGGAUGAUGUAAAGGAGCCAGAAAUGUGGAAAUCUUGGGUGGCAGUAGCAGGAACAACAACUGCGAAGAUCUUGAGCCAAGAGUAGGCCUAGUGGUUCUAGAAACAAACAGUAGGGUAGAAUAGCAAAGGGACUAUCAUGAGCAGAGGGGAGCAGGGCAUAGCCUGAAGCUAAAGAGGGGCAGGGGUCAGACCAAGUAGAUCCUCACUGUGGUAAGGAGUUGCAAGAUUUCAAAUAUGGAUGUGAUGUUGAGAUUUACUUGUUAAAAAGAUAACUUGGAGCCAGGUGCAGUGGCUCACAUCUGUAAUCCCAGCACUUUGGGAGGCCAAGGCAAGUGGAUCACUUGAGGUCAAGAGUUUGAGACCAGCCUGGCCAACAUAGUGAAACUCCGUCUCUACUAAAGGCAUGAAAAUUAGGCAUGGCGGUGGGCACCUGUAAUCCCAGCUACUGGGAGGGCUGAGACAGGAGGAUCACUUGAACCCAGGGGGCGGUGGUUGCCUUGAGCUGAGAUCACACCACUGCACUCCAGGGCAACAGAGCGAAACUUCAUCUCAAACAAACAAAUAAAUAAAUAACUAGGAGGCUGUGCAUGGUGGCUCACACCUGCACUUUGCGAGGCCAUGGUGGGAGGAUCACUUGAGGCCAGGAGUUUGAGACAGCCUUGGCAAUGUAGCAAGAUCUGCCAUCUCUACAAAAAAUUAAAAUAUCAGCCAGAUGUGGCACAUGUUUGUGGUCCCAGCUACUUGGGAGGAUUGCUUGAGCCCAGGAGUUCAAAGUUGCAGUGAGCAGUGAUUGCACCAUUGCACUUAAGCCUGGGUGAUGGAUGAGACCCUAUCUCUAAAAAAUAAAAAGAUAACUUGGGCUGCUGAGUGGAGAAUGGAUUGGGAGGGGGCAAGGGAUUAAGUGGAGAGAGUAUGUUUUGGGCUGGGCUGUAGUGGCAGCAGCAGAGAUAGCUAUGCCUUGGAAGACAUAUUUUUGCAGAGGUGGAACUGUUAGGAUUUGUAUGCCUUAUGGGUGAUAGGCAGAAAGAGGAAUCAAGGACUCCUAGAAUUUUGGCUUGAGCAAGCUAGGCAUAGAGGCAGGAAGAGACAAGGUUGGGGUGCGGAGGAGGAGGAGAAAUUUGAAGGGUCCUAGGGCAUUUUCUGAGACGAGUGGCCUGGAGAAUGUGACGGAAUGGACUGUUUGGCCCAGCCCACGGAGGAGGAGAGUGCUGGGUUUUAGAAAUGGGGCAUCUGAGAACCCUGACUUCUGUCAUGGUGCCUGGAGUCUAAAGUGGGGAGCAGAGCAUCCAGCGAAGGUGGGUAGUGUCCGAAAAUCUGGAGAAUGUUUGUUUCUUUGGUAUGUUUUAGUUUUUUUCUUUUACAUGAAUAUCUAUAGAUCUUCCUUGAUCACAAAAAAUGAAGUUGGCAAAUUUAUGGAACUGUGAAAGUAAUACCUUAUGUUUUUGUGAAACUUUGAGAGAUAAUUUGUCUACUAUAAAAUUUAUUUAAAAUUGCACAAUUGUGAUUUUUCACAUAAUCGUAAGGUUGUUCAACCAUCACCACUAUCUUGACUGCAGAACAUUUUUAUCACCCCAGAAAGCAACCCUGCGCUCACUAGCAAUUCCUCCUACUCCUCCAUUCCCCCAGCCCCUGGCAACCGCUAAUCUACUUGCUGUAUUCUGGACAUUUUUACAAAUGGAGUCAUAUAAUGUGUGUUUUUUUUGGUGUGAUUCUCUUCUUUCACUUAAAAUAACAUUUUAAAGAUGCAUCCAUGUUGUAGCAUGUGUCAGAUCUCCAUUCUUGAUGGCUGAAAAAAUAUUUCCGUGCACGGAUAUACCACAUUUUAUUAAUUUAUCAGUUGAUGAACAUGUUGGUUGUUUUGACUUUUCGGCUAUUAUGCAUAACACUGCUAUGAACAUUUGUGUAGCAGUUUUUUUGUGGACACAUUUUCUUUCUUUUGGUUAUACACAUAGGAGUGUAAUUGCUGGGUUUUGUUAACUUGAUUUUUAUCUUUUGAGGUUGUAUCCAACUUUAUAUCAUUUAUUUAUCACAGUAGCUAUGAAAGGAACCUGAAGUACUGAAGGAUUUGAUGGGCUAGAGGAAAAAGUGCAUAUGUUACAAAAAAUAUUUAAAAUGAGGUUCAUUCAUGCAUUGGUUAAAAUAGGGCAGACCUGGACACAUAAAUGUGUCAGGAGAAGUAAACAAAACGUGUAAUACUUAUAUAGUGGAAGAGUGUAUUGCAGGUGUAUGUGUGUAGAGAAGUGUGUAGAGAAGUUAUAUCUAUAUGUAAUCUCAACAGAGGUAGAUAAAAAACAAUGAGAGGUAGGUUAAAUGAGAAGUAGAUUAAAAAACAACGGUGAAAAAUGAUUAAAAAACAAUGAUGAGUGAAUAAGUGAGUUGAUACCAUUUAUGUAAGUUAAGAAAACCACAAAGUAAUACUAUGUAUUGCUCAUAGAUGGAAAUGCCCAUAUACACACACAGAAGUACAAAAAGGAUUGGAAGGAUACCCACAAGUCCAUGAUAGUAGUUGCUUUGUAUCCCUACUUCUGAGCUGCAAACCCAUGCCAGUUUUCCUUACCAUAUAUUUAUAUAUAAAUUAUAUAUAAAUGUAUAUAUAUAUAUUCAUAUACAAAUCAUUUCUGUUACAUGACUGUACAUUUCUUCGGAGUAGGGACUAUGUUUUCUUCACCAAUUUCCAUUGCCUAGCACUUAAGUGUGAACACAUAUUUUUGAAUGACUAACUGAAUGAAUUAAAUGAUUUUGGGAACAAGAUAGGGCAGGACUAAUGAAUAAGCCACUCUCCCCCAUCCUGCUCAUUGUCUCUGCUCCCUACCUUCAUAUUCUGUUAGUGUUGUCAUAAUAUGAGGCUUGCAAUUACCAGAGCAGUUCCAUAUGACACGACAUGCUAAUAAAGCAGAUGGUGUGUGCAAAUAAGCAGGAUAAAAGAGGUCUUUGCUGCAAAAGUCAUUGCUGUCUCCUUUAAAGUAUGAAGUAUUUUAUGAUUUCUCAGUAGAUUUUAUCUUCAUUGUCAAGGUAAUGAUUAUGGAUCGUAUAAAUCUUUAUGGCUUUGUUGUAUCAAGUGUCAAAUUACACAGCUUAGGUAGUUGUAGAAAGAAAGAUGUCUGUGAUCAGAUUAGGAAGUCAUAUUACUAAAAGUUUUUGCCGUUCAGGGAGGAGUUGGUCUCACUUUUUUGUGUUCAGAUAGUGGAGAACUGUGCUCCCGUUCUAGGGCCCUCCCUCCUUUCUCUUUAUUAACUUCUCCCCACGGGAGAAAGAAUGGCAAAUUGGAAAGCUCGGGGCUUGACAUUAAUAUGAGUGAAGUCACUGUAUUUCCACAUGGCUUUCGUUCUUUUUUUUUUUUUUUUUGCGGGGGAAACAAGGGGUGGAGGCCUGCAGAAAGGUGCCAGCUAUCCUCUACUUUUUGCCUGCUGUCUUCAGGCAAUAAGGAGAUUAGGGAGGUGUUCCCCUGGCAGGCCUAAUCUGGUCUAUACUUCUUCUAGUCCAGCCUUUGCCUGGACAGGUAAAUCAGUUCAGGUUUGCUCUGUGAACCUGGCCACCUUCAGGUCUGGAAGAAGAACAUAGGAAGCCCUGCUGACGUCAGGCUUAAGCUGUAUUCUCCAGCACAUUUACCAGAAGCCUCUGGGGUUGUGUGUGACCAUGCCUCGAAUAAAGCCCAUGUUCUGAUCCCCAUCUGUCUGUCAGAUGUUAUUUGUGGAUGUUAUUUGUGGUUAUGCCCAGUUGGUUAGAACCUAGAAAGUGAUAAAAGUGAGCCAUGCAGCCGGGCACGGUGGCUCAUGCCUGUAAUCCCAGCACUUUGGGAGGAUGAGGUGGAUGGAUCACCUGAGGUCAGGAGUUCAAGACCAGUCUGGCCAACAUGGUGAAACACUGUCUCUACUAAAAAAUACAAAAAUUAGCUGGGCAUGAUGGCAUGCGACUGUAAUCCUAGCUACCGGGAAGGCUGAGGCAGGAGAAUCCCCUGAACCCAGGAGGUGGAGGUUGCAGGGAGCCGAGACUGCGCCACUGCACUCAAGCCUGGGCAACAAGAGCUAAACUCUGUAUAAAAACAAAAAAUAACAAAAAAACUAGCGAGCCCUACAGCUGCAGGCUGAGGUUCUAGUUUUGGCAAUAAGCUAAAGUGUAAAUAAUUUUACAUUUAAAACUAUGGAACAAAUAGAGGUGGGACAUGGGCUGCCCCUGCCCACCUCUCCAGCCAGUUCCCCGACUCUUCGUCUUCUUUCUGCUGCAUGUGGUCUGACCAUCUUAGUUCUCAAGUUUGCCAAACUUUUUUUCAGCCAUGUGUCCUUUGCCUAUGCUGUUUUCUCUGCUAACUUUCUCUUUUUUUUCUCUCUCUUACUUGCUGCUUUUAUGGUCAAGUUCUAACUCUUCAAGCGUACACUUAAAUAGUACCUUCUCUGACCCCGUAGGCUAGGUUGAUUGCUUCAGUGUACUAAGGCAAAAAUACCCUGAGUAUCUGUGCUCAUUAACCUCUGUGUUUCCCUUUUGUAAGAUUUAUCACAAUUGUAAUCAAAUAUUUAUGCUAUGAUAUAUUUGUUGCCUUUCUAGAUUUUCUAACAGUCUUCUUUGCAUUGUUACAUAAAGUGUUUAGUGCAGAGCUGGGCACUCAUAUUUGGUGCCUGAGGGAGAUUUGUUGAGUGAAUAAAAUAGCAGUGUCCAGCAGCGACAUAGACUGCUGAGAUAUGGCAUGUCAGAGUCUGAAAGGCUUCUGUCCAGUUGGCAAGUGGAAUUCAUUGGAUGUUUUACAAAGAAUAGUUUUAGUAAGGUGGUGGGGACGGAAGUGAGUUUGCAAAGUAUCUUAUAAAAAGCUAGACUUAAUUACUCAUUUACGCAACAUUGGAACCCUUACAAGUGAUUUCUCUACUGAGAGCAACUUUUCUUGAGUUUUACUAACUCAGUAGACACUGUCAGAAUCUGCCAGAUUACAACAAAGGGGUAAAAAUUCCUGAUCACUUGAGGUCAGGAAUUCAAGACCAGCCUGGGCAACAAGGUGAAACCCGAUCUCUACUAAAAAUGAAAAAAAAAAAAAAAAAAAAAAAUAGCUGAGCUGGGUGGUGCGUGCCUGUAAUCCCAGCUACAUGGGAGGCUGAGGCAGGAGAAUUGCUUGAGCCCGGGAGGCGGAGGUUGCAGUGAGCCGAGAUUGCGCCAUUGCACUCCAGCCUGGGCGACAGAGCGAGACUCCAUCUCAGAAACAAACAACUCCCAAGGCAUUAUACUAUGACUCUUUUCUCAAUGGGUAGUGAACAGAAUGGAAUAUUCACUUCACUGCAAAGAGUCACUGGCAGGUGGUGCAGAGCACUGUGCUCCAGAAAGAGCAAAGAGCCUAGAGGUUUCUGAUCUCUGCUUAUCACUCAGCCAAAAGUACAGUCAUUUGCUUAAAAAAAGACAGGUGGCAUAAAAAAAAAAGUAUUCUUUAAUCUCUCUGCUCUACAGGACUUGAAACAUAGCCUUAAAUGACUAAGUCUUCACGUGAGCAUGACAUAACCUGGAAAUCUUCCUAUAAUGGAACUGGCCUUGUGAAGGUAUUUAUUGUUAAGACUUUCCAGGGUAUAUUUUGGGAGGUGCCAUGGGCAGAUACAUCGGCGAUACUGUUACAUAGUCCAGGAUGUUCUACUUUUGAAAAUUAACAAUAAUUACACUCAAGACCUUAGGCAAGUUGACUAUUCUCAGCACUUUAUAUAUACAGUCGUCCCUCAUUGUACACCGGGAUCUCCCCUACCCCUCGCCUAUGGUCAAAUCUGCACGUACUCAGUCUUACAGUCAGCCCUGAAGAACUCGUAUAUGUAAAAAGAGGGUAUCUCUAGGCAGUGAGGUAGCUUUCUGUUAGCUCUUGUAGGGACCAUGUUCUUGUGGACUUGACAAAGAAUGUUAUAUCAAAAGUCGUAACUCCUUUUUCCUGAUUUAAAGAUGACAUUUACAUGGUUUUUGUGUCCCAUGAAUACGGUAUUUUUGAUCUGCAUUUGAUUGAAAUGCAUUUGAGCUGCUCAGUUGAAACCUGUGUUGUUCAAGGGUCAGACUGUAUUAACCUAUUUAAUCUUUGCAGCAAAUCCUGUAAGGAAUCAGUCCUUUUACAGAGGAGGAACCUGAAGCUCACAGAGCUUAAGGACUUUGCCCGAAGUGGCAGAAUUGGCAUUUGAACCUAGGCAUCCUGGCUUCAGAAUCCAUGUUCUUCCCUUUUAGGUUAUACUGCGUCUCUGUGGCCACUUGAUGAUAAAGUCAGUAAUUAGGAUCCACUGUUGUUCCCUCUUGUGCCUCUGCCCUUUUGCUCAUGUUCUCCUCCCUGACACUAGAGCACCUGCUCCCCCUUCACCUGCAGUGAGUGUCUCGGGGAAACAUCAGCACAGAGGCUCUGCUUUCUCCCACCCGGCAGGUCCGCAGGGGGUUGCUGUUUCGAAAGUAUUGAGUGCUCUGGACACCAUGAUCUGUUCUGUAGGAUUCUUCUGUAGCAGGAGCUUUGUCAUGGACUCAGUUGCCUUUUGAAUGCUGGUCAGGUAUCCUAGUCAUCUUUCACAAUGUCGAUCAUAUGGGAAAAUAUGUUUCUAGUUCUGACAACUGAAUUACAUGUACACCUUUGGAACAUAAUCUGUUUUUAGGUUGAGAACUACCUGUGUAUUCAUCAAGUACUGAAGUUCCCAGUGUUCAAGAAAUGCCCUAUGCUAUUAACAGAGAAUUAACAGGUUUCUCUAAAGAACAAAACUAAGCUUAGUAUGGCCUGGUAUUAAUCCCUGUCUAGAAGUUUCACAAUCAAAAGGGCAAAAUGUGGAAAAGCAAAGAUAAAUAAGUAAAAUUGGAAAAUACGCAAAGCCGUUAGAGAUGUACCAGUGGCUCAGAAGUAGGUAAUAAUGAGAAAUGCACCCAACCUCUGUGACUGUGAAACAUGCCACCCAAGCUUUGGGUUUUUGAAAUCUGUCUCUGGCACUUGAAUCUCCUUGUCAGUGGCAAACUGGAGAGCUUUCCAUACUUCUGUGCAAAGGAAAGCAUACCCCAGAGCAAAAACAAAAUAAAAUGCUACUUAAUAUUCAAUGUGGUGUCCUUUGAAUUUAAAAGUUGUAGUGAUACUAUUAUAGCAGAAUUAACAUUAUUGUCAUAUUAGCAUUGGAACUUUCCCAUUUAUUUUUGGCUUGGUGAAUUUGAAAGUGUUGUUUAACAGAAAAGAUUUUAAAAGGUUAGAUGCAAUAGCAUUUAUUUUGCACAGUUUGAUGGAUUGCCAGCAGCAGGGAAAACUACAACUCAGAUCGUUUCAACAACUUUCUGUUCUUGGAUUUUUCCUUUCUCACCAAUUUUUCUUUCAGAGCAAUAAUCAUUUUACUGUAUAUGAAAGAGAUACCUAAAUAUCAGGUAUCUAGUUAGGUGCUAAUGAACUCCUCCUGCCCAUUUUUUAAUUGUUUGCUUUAUCAUAGCUCUAAGUAGUCGUGCUAAUCUUUUAGGGGGAGGGUUAAGGAAAGAUUUUACUUAAUUUUGGGAUUUACUUUGUCUUUUACAGAGCUUGAUAUGUGGCUUAACAGUAAGUAGGAUUAUAGCAAGUUGUUAUUUUAGAGAAAGUAAACGUUAUCUCAUUAUAUUCUUUUUUAACAUAAUGAGAAUCUUUAUGGAAGAAUUUGCGACAGCUCAAGAACAUUUUUUAAAAUUUAAUUUUAAGUUCCAGGAUACAUGGGCAGGGUGUGCAGAGUCGUUACAUAGAUAAACAUGUACCAUGGUGGUUUGCUGCACCGAUUAACCCAUCACCAAGUAUUAAACCCCACAUGCAUUAGCUAUUUAUCCUGAUGCUCUCUGUCCUUCCACACCUCCCUGAUAGGCCCCAGUGUGUGUUGUUCCCCUCCCUGUGUCCAUGUAAGAACAGUUCUUUUUAAAGGUUAGUACUUGGAUUGUUUUAUUGUUGUACUGUUUAAGCAGCUUUGUUGAGAAAGAGUAAAUUAAAGCUUUUAUCAAUUUUUUUUUUUUUAACAGCAAAUCUGUACUCUCCUUUUUUUUUUUUUUGGUGGCCCAGGCUGGAGUGCAGUGGCGUGAUCUUGUCUCACUGCAACAUUUGCCUCCUGGGUUCAAGUGAUUCUCCUGCCUGAGCCUCCUGAGUAGCUGGGACUGCAAGUGUGUGCCACCACGCCCAGCUAAUUUUUGUAAUUUUAAUAGAGACAGGGUUUCACCAUGUUGGCCAAGCUGGUCUUGAAUUCCUGAUCUCCAGUGACCCGCCUGCCCUCCUCGGCCUCCCAAAGUGCUGGGAUUACAGGUGCAAGCCACCGAGCCUGGCCUGCACUCUCACUUCUAGUUAUCAAUGUUAAAUUUAUCAUUUGUCACUAAAUAAUUAUGAUAUUCAUAAUUACCAAAGCCUUUUAAAACUGCAUUUUUAUAAUUUUUGCUACUUGCUGAUAGAAGACCUUUUGACUUAAAUAUCUAAGUUUUAGAUUGACAUUAGUUUUGAUAUAUAAGGUUUAGUUUUCAGUAUUGAGCUGCUAUCUGUAAACUAAUUAUAUUUUGAAGUGAAAUUAGUGGAGAAUGGACAUUUUCUACAUUGCGUGAGCGUCUACAGCUAGAGAGUAUCUCUAGGCAGUGAGGUAGCUUUCUGUUGGCUCUUAGAUGGGAUCACAUUCUUUGGGCUUGACAGUGGAUGUUAUGUCAAAAGUCAUAACUCCUCUGAUUUAGAGAUGACAUUUAGAGUACUGUAGGUUUAUGAGAACCUGCUCUUAACCUUAAAUAACAGAGCUGCUGCCAGGGCUGCUGCCUUCCUUCCUGGUUUUUGGGUGCUUGAGACUCUUGGAAAGUGGGCCAGAUGCAGUGGCUCCUAUCUGUAAUCCCAGCACUUCUGGAGGCUUAGGCGGGCAUAUAGCUUCAGUCCAGGAGUUGUGAGAUUCUUGGAAAUGUAAAGCAUAGUUGAUGAGAGGGGGAAUUAAAUAGCAGACCGGAUGGUUCUCAAAAUAAAAUAGGAAAUUAGAAGAUAUGAGGCCUUAAUAACAACAACAGCAAAAAUGAGAUGUAUCUAUCUAUAAUGAGAUUUCUGAAUGUCAUAAUACAGAGACAAUUCUGUAUCCAAUUAGAAUAAAACUUGUUACCUUCAAGUGGAAUGAAUCAAAUGCAAUAAUUCUAUACCCAGCCAAACUACUCUUACAUAGGUGGUCAGAGGAUCAAUAUUUAAAAACCUGCUAUUAUUCUAACUUUGAAUCCUUUCAGGAAAAAAAAAAUUUAGAAAAUACUUAAGGCAUUGGUGAAGUCAAGAGUGAAAACCUCAUAGGAAAGAAUAUGUGGCUUAUAUGCAACCGAUUAACUUGAGUCAAAUCUAAAUAAAUGUUAGUAGGUUGUGAAGCUAAGUGGAUUCAUUGACAUGAAAAAUACUAUAGAAUAUAACCAACUUUUCUUAAUACUGGAAGUCCUUUUGAAAAAUCAAAUUAUUGCUGGGUGUGGUGGCUCAUGCCUGUAACCCUAGUAACUUGGGAGGCUGAGGGAGGAGGAUUGCUUGAGCUCAGAAGUUCGAGACCAGCCUGGGCAACAUAGCAAGACCCCAUCACACACACCCAGAAAACAUCAAAUUAUUUCUUUCUGUAGCUCUGAGUUUAUAUGCAUAUCUAAUGAAAUGAUUGAAAACCCUACUCUGGCAACACAGGAGUUGGGCUGGCGAUAAAAGGUGGGGGAAAAGCAGGAGUACUUAGGAUGUGGGAGAGGAAAUGAUACAAAUAUGAUAGACUGUUAAUUCCUGGGAAAAAUACCAGAAACAGCUGAUCUGAUUUUCAGAAGUAAUCAUAAAAAUAGAUAGCAUUUAUUGAAUGUUGCAAGGCCUUUGCUAAGUACUUAAUAUUGUUACCUCAUUUUACCCUGUAUAUCAGAGAUAUUAAUGAGCUGGCUAAUUUAUAUACCUGUAGAAUGUGUAAUGAACACUCAUUAGCAUUAUAGAUAUGUUAGUUUUAAAGUGUAUCUGUGUCCUUUUAAAAUAUUUCCUUUUAACUCUUAAAUUGAAAAGUCUAGGGAAUAAUCCUAAUCAAGAAGGAGUUGCAGGAAACUAUUGUAAAUCCAGGUUGUAAAGAGAAAAUAAAUUGGUUGGUGAGAACUGUCACCUUUUCCAUAAGAUAAUUUAAGCACAAAUGAUUACAACAAUUUACGUUUUUUAUUGUGGCCAAUAUAGUUGACUUGGUUUAAAUCAGACAGGAGAAAAGAGGAAAAUUUUUAUUGAUUAACCAGGCCCUGAAUUUUCUGUCUUAGGAGGAGGAAAUUAUGUAGUUAAAUUGUAUGAUUCCUGUCAAAAGAACAAUGAACUUUUGAGCAGAUUGGCUGAGCAGAGAGAAUACAAAGCAGGGCUAAUGAUUGUCUUCAUCAAAGAGAACUUCUUGGGAUAAGCAGAUUUCUAUGCUUUUAUAAGAUAGAUUUUUUUGGGGGCAGUGAGAAUAUAAAAACAAAUUCGGGAAUGAGAGGUUAAUCGAUAAAGAACCUGAGUUGUGUUUUAGUCAUGGAAACAGUGGCUUUUUUUUUUUUCAGUUUUGUUUUUGAUAAAAAGUAUCCUAAAUAUAAAGGAGGUAUAUUUCCAGGUAGGACUGUGCUAUGUAACUCAGUAGUCUCUAAACUGAUUUUAGUUUUGCUUUUGAUAUCUGAAUGGAUUAGGAAAAUUCCUUCCAAGAAACCAGAGACCAGAAGAUCAGACAAAUACCAUAUCAGUUUCUCUGCUUUGAAAAUUAUAAUUCAACCUUGUAAAAUUUUUCUAACGUUGUGUUCUCUGUAAAUAACACAGAGUAAAAAUAAGUCAAACCAUUUGUUUUUUCCUCUAAAUGUUCUGAACAUUAAACAAAUGGUUCUUGGCAAACACAUACUAUUUUUUUUUUUUUUUUGAGAUGAGUCUCUAUUGCCCAGGCUGGAGUGCAGUGGUACAAUCUUGACUCACUGCAACCUCCGCCUUCCAGGUUCAAGCGAUCCUCCUACCUCAAACUCCCAAAUAGUUCGGACUACAGGUGCGCGCCACCAUGCCUAGCUAAUUUUUGUAUUUUUAGUAGAGAUGGGGUUUCACCAUGUUUGCCAGGCUGGUCUCAAACUCGUGACCUCAGGUGAUCUGCCUGCCUUGGCCUGCCUAAGUGCUGGGAUUAUAGGCGUGAGCCACCAUGCCCGGCCAUACUAAUUUAAUUUUAGGAAUGUUGUAUUAUAGUUCAUUUUGAACAAAUUGUAAGAAGAUUAUUUUGUGCCCAUAUGUGUGAUAAUCAGAAUAGCUUGAUGUAGAUAUUUGGUAUCUUUUUAGAAUAAUUAUGUUUAGAUAAAUCUUUUCUGUGGAAACAUAUUCCUAAACAUUUAAGCCUAGUUAUACCACCCUCAAAUAUAAGAAGUUUAUGAACUUUGUGGGCUGAUUCAGGAAAUCUUUUCACACUGAUAAAAACAGGAGACUUUAAUAUUAUUUUGGGAAGAAAAAUGAGAAAUUUGAAGAUAUGUCUCUUAUGAAUCUUGCUGCAUCAGUUUGUUUUCUGCUGAUAGUCUGGUUGAUGCACAAUUUAGUUUUCAAAGAAUUUCUCUUCAAAAAUACCGGCUAGGCACAGUGUUCACACCGGUAAUCCCAGCACUUUGGGAGGCAGAGGUAGGAGGAUCGCUUGAGGCCGGGAGUUCGAGACCAGCCUGAACAAUGUAAGGAGACUCUAUCUCUACAAAAAAUAAAAAAACUAGCCAGGCAUGGUGGCGUGCACCUGUAGUCCUAGCUGCUUGGGAGACUGAGGCAUGAGGAUCCCUUGAGCCCAGGAAGUCAAGGCUGCAGUGAGCUAUGAUAGCACUACUGCACUCCAGCCUUGGUGACAGAGCAAGACCCUGUCUCAAAAAACAAAUAUUUUUCAUCCUUGGAAAAAUAAAACCUAAAAUAAGAAGAGCAGCACAAUAUUUUUCUUUUUUUUGAAGUAGCAGGGCUGACCAAAGCCAUUUCUAGCCAAAUAAAUUAUUUAUUAAUCAAUAUCGUUACCACAUUCUCUAUGUGGAAAAAGUAUUCAAAUCUUGAGGCCUAUGUUUUUUCAAACUUGAGAGUCAUACAGUUGCCAGCUUUUUUUUUUUUUUUUAAGUAGUAGACAAAUUGUAAGAACUACAAAACUGAAAAUUACCUUCUGUUUUUCUUCCCCAUAAGCUGCUGUUGAAGUGAAGUGAGCUCAGGGAGACAGGCCUGUUGUUAUCUUCCUAUGGCACUGAUUUACACUUUUACAGAAGGGAAAUUUAUGGCCCUUAUCUGUUGAGGACUUUUAUGAAUGACUGGUAUAAAUCAAGAAUUGAAUGAAUAUUUUUCCCUUUAAGCAUAAAUCUGUGAUUGGGAGAUUGAUUUCUGAGUAACUCUUUGGUAACCCAUUUAAAUUGUCAUCUUCCAAUUUUCUGUAUUUUGGCAUAAACUGAAUAACUAAAAUAUAACUUAAUACCAGCAUGAUAGAUUUGUUUUUCUUCUGUUAGAUACUUUAGAAUUCAUCUAGACUUCUCACAGACCUCGAUAAAUAACUCAGCAGUCAGAAUGGAAAACAAAUUUAUAUAGUGGAAAUCUCAUUAAUGGGAAUGAACAAUACAACUGUAUUCAAGGUUUAGGCAGGAGAAGGAAAAUGAUAGAAAUGUAUUUGUUUAAUUUUAAAGAUUCUUAUGAUAAAAUGAUCAUUAAUUAGGGAAGAUAAGUAGAAAAAGACAGUCCUUUCUGGGACAUUUGAAGACUAACAGCCUUUUAUUGAAAGUCCUGGAAAAGUAUGUGUAAAAAGCCAGCCAUGAUGAUCUUUUACCUACACUUCCUUAGGAGACUUUCCCUCAGCAAGAUGUGUCUUUCUAAAAACAAAAGAUAAGAGACAAUAGGAGCCCACAUAGGAUGGAAAGCUAGAAAUCAGGUGGGUUAAAAAUAAUUUCAUCUACACUAUCUUCCCCUUCUCAAAAGAUUUUUAAUCUGUAAAUGGCAACUUAUACAUGGAAGGAUUAUAAAAUACAUAAAAUUACUUUUUAUUUGUCUUCUCAGAUAUAUGGCGUGUUCUUUAUCUUCCCCUUGUUCCAAGUAAUUUUGUUAAGCAGUAAACAACGUGGAAGACAGGUUGGUCAGGAGAUAAGCAGUUGAUUCCGUGUUUUUUGAAGAGAACUUUUAUGAUAGUAGGAAGAGGAGGGCAGUGCUGGUCCUGUAGUGCAGUCGUGUAGUACUGUUUGCUGUGGGACAAGAGGAAGGAACAGACUGGCAGGAAGGGACUGCAGCAUGGAAGGGUGCUAAGUGCGUCACUGAGUGAUAAGGGUGCUAAGUGCAGGAAGGCCCACUGGAUGGGCAGGGUGAGAGUGGGUUCAGGUUGUAGGUGUGGAGUUGGACAGGCUGGCCUUGUUCUAGCAGCACCAUUUACUAGCUGUGCCACCCUAGGCAAGUCACCUUCUCUGCUCCUCAUUUCCCUUCUCUCUAAAUGGUGAUAAUAAGAGAAGCUACCCUCUGAAGUUGUUAGGAUUAACUGAGCUGAUACAUAGAUGUAAAACCCAUAGGACAGUACCUAGCACGUUGCAUCCAACAAGUGUCAGCAAAAUAUUAGCCUAGCCAGUCACCUGUGGCCAUUAUCAACAUCUGUCUCCAGUUAGUCACCACCUUUGGUCAAUUCUGCAUUUGAAUAUUUCUUAAAGAUGAUUUAUCUUCUCUGCCCUCAUGGCCAUAGCCUUAGUGUACAGACUUUUUAACUCUCAAAUAAAUUAAUUCCGUUUAUUCUUUUAGUCAAAUUUUACUAAAAUCCAUUGUGCAGAAAAUGACCUGUUAAUUUUCUAAAAUGCAGAUCUUGCCCUGCCACUCUGCUUAAAUCCCUGUCAUGGUUUUCUGUCAUCCUUAAGGAAUUUAUAAUUAACUUUCAGCAUUAAAGGCAUGCAGAGUUCUUCAAAAGUUAGCUCUUGCUUGCCUUCCAACCUCAUCUCUCAUCAGAUACUUUAUGAACAUCAUAUAUUCUAAUUCUUACUAUACCUUUCCAAAAGGCAGUCCUCAUUUUGCACAGUGAUGCAGGACUGUAACAGUGAUGGUUCAAGCUGAACUACACACAACAAUCUUAAUAACAGUGGGAGCAACUCCAGUAUUCCCAUGACCUUUGAAUGUUUUUGUUAAAACAUUAAAAAUUCUCUGUCAGUGAUAAAUAUGUAUGGAAAUGAAAAAGUAAAACUGGUAUUGAUGUAGUAUACUGUAAUGUAAAACAUUAGAUGAAAGGCUCACACCUGUAAUCCCACACUUUGGGAGGCCGAGACAGACGGAUUGCCUGAGGUCAGGAGUUCGAGACCAGCCUGGCCAACAUGAUGAAACCCUGUCUGUACUAAAAAUGCAAAAAUUGGCUGGGUGUGGUGGCGGGCACCUGUAAAUCCAGCUACUUGGGAGGCUGGAGCAGGAGAAUCACUUGAACCUGGGAGAGGGAGGUUGCAGUGAGCUGAGAUUGUGCCAUUGGACUGCAGCCUGGGUGAGAAGAGCGAAGCUCCAUCUCCCAAAAAAAAAAAAAAAAAAAUCAGAAGAAUUGAGAAUUAAAAACUUAUCAGGAGUAGUUUGAACAGUGCUUGUCUUCUUCAUCUUGUCAUACGAUAUAAGAUGGGCCUAGCAUCUUUUCUAUGACUUGGUGAAUUUCCAUACUCCUUUCUAAGUUUGGAUCAGUUUCCCGUAUUUCAUCCUUUGUGCUUUCAGUGAGUUUCAUUAAUGUGAAGUUUUUUUGCUGGCAUCACUUCCUCUGGGACGUCUUUAUUCUUUUGCUAAUUUAUGUGAAGCUGCCUUCACCAAGCUCCUGUGGCUGCACAUCAUUGUCUCUUAGAUGUCGUUAGUGUCUCUUAGAUGUCGUUAGUGUCUCUUAGAUGUCGUUAGUGUCUCUUAGAUGUCGUUAGUGUCUCUUAGAUGUCAUUCCCAUAGUCAGCUAUUUCUUCUCUAAACGUCGUUUAUGUUUGAUUCAGAUUUCACUUUGAGUUUACCAGUGUUUCAGUGCUGUACUUUCAUCUUUGCUGCCCAAUUCCCUCUUUGGAUUACCCAUUUUUGUAAAAUGUCAAGUGGGUUAAUCACUGUGAGACAUGGUGGCAGCACAACUAUAUGCUUUUCUGUCUGUGUACCAACUCAGAUGCACAGUGACCAAUCACUGACAGGCUUUGAAAGAAGUGACGUGAUUGGUCAUGGAUCAUGAUACAGAUCUGUUAUUUACUCAGUGAUUGGUGCACUGAAUAGCUAGUGGUGAAGUUUCUUUUAUGUAAUUAUUAUUGAUUAAUUUAUCAUAGUAACUGACAUUUGAGUCUUAUUAUUGGCAGAAUGAUGUUAAUUAAACUGUGGUAACUGAAAUUUAUGCAUCUCAGAACUGUGCAAAGCAAGGACUGCGAGUAUGUUAUAACCAUUUCACAAAGUCUUAAAGGUUAAAUGGCUACAUACAGCACAUGGCCAAAAAGUGGCAGAAUUACAUUAACAUAACUUUUCAAAUAUCUUUGAUAUUUAUGUUAUAAGGAGGCACAAUCUGUCUCUUAAUGCUUCUGUCAAAUUAAAUACUCAUGGAGUUCAAAUACAAAUGGAUUGUCUUCAGAAAAAAAUUAUUAGCAUGUGUAUUUAGGUCCAUAGCCCUAUAGGAACUCUGUCUGUGCUUAGCUUGGGCUAACCAUGUAAGACUGCCAAGAUUUGCAUAAAAAUCCAAUUAUUGUAAAGAGCUACUCAAAGCUAGCAACAUACCUGACCUUAUCUGAGGUUAUUUUUUGGAAUGAAUCAAGAGUCCCCAGCCUUGGAGUGAUGAAAAGACCAUCAUUUUUAUUUGUUUUAUUCUGGAACAAAUAAAAAAUCCCUGGAAAGGAAAGGAACAUCCCGUAGUCAAGUGGAGAAAACUGGUCUAAAUAGUUAGCAGUGGAGAUAUUGAGAUACUCUGCUUAGGAUGAGAGAUCAGCAGCAGUGGGUAGGGAUGUUAAUGACUGGACCUUAAGCUUCAGGGAUUCAGAAAUAAGUUCAGUUAGUUCUCUUAGGAAUAAGUUAAAUAGUGUCUGCUCAAUUCAUCUGGCCGGCUGGUAGUCAGAGUCCACAGUAAGUAGUCAAAUUUGAAAGUUGUAAGAUACAAUCCAGCUUCUGCAAUAAUGAGAAGGCUCAGUUUGGAGCAUCUAAAAUUGUUCAGGGUACAAGAGAACUGAGAUACACAGAUGGACUAAAAUAAUACUCAGUUGUGGAUAGAUGAAGGCUGAGAAAAAAUAUGAUAAAAGGCUUUUUUUAAGUGCCUCUAAAAUGCCAGGUCUUCUAGAUUACUUUUACUUAUUUGUAAUGUAAUUCUUAUAAACAUCUUGUUAGCAGGUGUUAUAGUUGUUAUUUAGAACUUUUCUGAGAUUAUAGAGCUAGUAAGUAAUAGAGUUGGGUUUUUUGUUGUUUUUAAUCCAGGCCCUUUUAAAUAUAUAACUCCUAAAUGAAAGAUACCAGACCCAAACAUUAUGAAAAGAAGGAUAUUUGGGGAGUGCAUCUCUCAUUUUUGAUCUUGCAUGUUGUGUUGUAUGGACCUUGGAAUGUAAUUUUCUGUAGAAAUAUUUGAAAAUGUAAUUUGAUACCCAGUCCACACUGCAAAAGCCUAUUUUUUUUUUUUUUUGUCAGGGUCUUGCUCUAUCACCCAGGCUGUAGUGCAGUGGCACAAUCUCAGUUUACUGCAGCUUCAGCCUCCUGGGCUCAAGCAAUCCUCCCGCCUCAGCCUCCUGAGUAGCUGGGAUUACAGGUGUGGGACACCAUGUCUGGCUUUUUUUUUUUUUGUAGAGACAGGUCUCACUAUGUUGCCCAGGCUGGUGUUAAGCCCUGGGUUCAAGCAGUCCUCCUGCUUUGGCCUCCCAAUGAGUUGGGAUUACAGGCAUGAGCCACCAUGACAGAUAUAGAGACACAUAUGGAGACACAUAGAGAUGUGCAUGUAAAAUAGGCCCAAAAGCCUAUCCGUAUGUGUCUCUCUAUCUGUAUAUACAUUUCUUUCUGUGCUAUUUAAAAUACAUGCAGUCACUGUGUGACAUAUUACAUUUCAAGUGCCAACUUGGGAAUGGUGGAACUCUGCCUCUCACCUUGAGGACAGCCCUUCUUUGCAGCACAGUCAAUGACUAGGAGGACAGUAGGCCUGUGUUUACAUCUGUGCAAGAAUGGCAUCUGCCUUCAUCUCCGCAUGCUCCUAGAGAAGGAGCCGUUUCAGCGAGUCACUUCUCAGGUAUUCUAAAUUUGGUAAUAAAAGGACUUGAUGCACUCCAGGUGCAGUUUCUCUGACCAUAUCAAUGUUCUUAAUUUUUUUUUGAGGGGAGGGGACUGUGUCCUAAUUAGUAAUUAAGGUUAUUUUGAUAGCAAGUGUUAGAAAAAUGCUAAUUCCAAGACUACAAGCGUAUUUCACAUUCUGAAAUCCAGGUAUCCUAAGGGACCAUGGACUGGAACUCCACUAGAUACUACUCAGAAGCUUCGUCCGCCUCAUCUGUCUCUACUUUUACCUCUGUGACCUAGAGGUCACUUGAAACAAGCUUCCUCCUGCUCGUCAGCUUCAUUCCUCUCUUUCUGAUGACUGUCUUUCUCUAGCCAUCUGAGCCUCCUGUCCUAUGUGACAGUCUCAGCUCAUGACUUUCCAUCCCCUCAGUUUCAAGAGUGUGUCUGAGACCUGAUUCCAGAAUCCCAAAAGGCAGAAUGACAUUGACUGACCCAACUGGAGUUCGUUAGGUAUCCGUGGCUUGUUAGGAAUCUAUCUCUAGUAGGAAUGUCUGCUGCCCUGGGGGCCGAAUCCUGCCUGUGCAUGACCUGCUAGGGCCCAUGCCUCCGGUGGAUGGAAUGAAGCAAGGAUGGGGGCUGCCUGCAGAGCUGUGUCACUCACUUGUAUUCAGCUUUCCUGCCUCUGGCUCUCUGUCUUUUACCUUUUUUUGUUCGUUUGUGUUUUGAGAUGGAAUCUCGCUCUGUUGCUCAGGAUGGAGUGCAGUGGCUAGAUCUUGGCUUACUGCAACCUCCGCCUCUCGGGUUCAAGUGAUUCUUCUGCCUCAGCCUCCUGAAUAGCUGAGACUACAGGCACAUGCUGCCACGCCUGGCUAAUUUUUUUAUUUUUCAUAGAGACAGGGUUUCACCAUGUUGGCCAGGUUGGUCUCAAACUCCUGAGCUCAAGUGAUCCGCUUGCCUCAGCGUCCCAAAGUGCUGGGAUUACAGGCGUGAGGCACCACGCCUGGCCUUUUAUCACUUUUAAACUAAGAAAACAAUGAUCACCAUACAUGCUCUGCUUCCAAACUAUACUUUCACAUCCAAAGUACCCCCAGAUCAUAAAGUGCCACCAAAGAGCUGUGAUAUGAAGAAAGACCCCGGGUAGAAUCACUCUGAAAAUGUGGGAGGUUUUUUUUUUUUUUUUUUUUUUUAAAGCAAAUUCAUUUUACUUAGCCAGAAUCCUAAUAGCCUGCUGAUUUUUGUAGAUGAUUACUCUGAAAACAUAUGCAUUGGUGUGGUCUAUGAGUAAGGCUCUGCCUUUUAAGUCACAUUCUUUGCUGCUUCAUUGCAAUGAAAAAUACCAAAGGUGAAUACCAAAUCAAUUUUUUUUAGUAUUGUACUUGUAAAGACAGUCCAUGAAGUGGUGAGUGGGAGAAUCAAACUUUUGUGGUAAUCUUUUAUUGUAAUCUACUUUCAGCUCAGAGAAGCAGCAUAGCCUGGUGGACUAAGGGAGGAUGGGGAGUUUGGAGCUCUGAGAUAUGAACUGUUUUGCAAUGACUAGUUUUGUGACCUUGAGAAAGGACCUUAACCUCUGUCUAUGUCUUCAUAUGUAAAAUGGGAUCUACCUGAUAGAAACAUAGGUGCAUUCAUAUGUGAGCAAACUGAAUAAUUAGAUCUCACAUAAAUCAGGAGUGAUUUUUUUUUUAAAUGGCUGAAGCCUGCGGUUUAUAAAAAGAUUCUCCCUAGAAUUCCUUUAAGACCUAACCUUUUCUCAGGGGUGUUUAAACUGUGAUUAACAAAUGUUAAAUUAUACAUCCCAGUUUACAAAAUAUACCCGUUGAAUAGAGUGAGACUAACAUGACUUUUUGUCUCAUAAAAUUAUGACAAUAACUCAGUCAGUCUGUGUGAAAUACUUUGUAAACAGAGCUUUGCAGGCUGCAGUAAAAAAAAAAAAAUAUAUAUAUGUAUUUUAUAUUUAAAAAAUAUAUAUUUUUAUAUAUAUAUAUAUCCCCAUACCUGAAGAUUUUGGGGUGAACUUUUUCCAGGUUAAGAAUGACAUUAGUGCCAACUGUGCUGUAUUUUGGCUAUCGUGAUGACAUUAGUAUCAUCAAAUUGGUCGUGGCAUUGGGACACUGGCAGCAUGUCAUCCUGCCCCAGUCAAGAAUGACUGUAGGCAGUUUCAGUUUAUCUGUUGCUACUAGAAUUUUGAUGUAGCAGUGUCAAAAGGUUGAUUUGUACUAUGGCAAUCUUAUUCCUAGAUGUGAAUUCUCCAGGGGGCAAAAUAUCCUAAAAGCUAACAUGUAAACAAGCUCAAAGGAUUAAUGUAGUAGGAAGAAAUAGUAGUUUGUUAUAUAUUCAUGUUGAAUUUAGGUAACUAUUUUAGUUAUUUAAAAGAUUACUACCGAAGGGAAGAAACAUAUUUUGCUAGGUUUCGCAUAGAAAAACCUGUGUCUGGCUCAAGGUAAUACUUGAAUUUUAAUAGGAACCUAGGUUUGCUGUCUUCCCAGUGUAGACUGUAGCCUGCACUGUCAUAGAAGAGUGUUGAUUGAUCCGGUUGUGAAAUAGAUGGAUACCCACAUUUAAGUUGCUUUUGAAAGAGUCAGUUUCCCUCCACAAAUAUGGCAACAAAAUUCUUUUAUAAUCCACAAAUAGAAUUUUUCUUCAUCUGAAAGAGAUUUCUCCUAAACCAGCCUGAAAAAUUGCUUUUCUAGGAAGAAUUUCAUGGCUGAGCCUCAUUCUUGUACAGAUUCAUAGCAUGUUAUUACUAACUUGUAAAUAUUCACUUACAGAAGAGAGUGACUAGAAUCUUUGAAUUCUUUUAUAUUGGUGUUGAGGUUUCUAUCCAAGUUACGCAGUUUUUCAUUCAUUUUAGAGGAAGAUUUUCUCAAACAAGGAUUCUUCGUGGUUGCAAAACCUAUCCCCAGAGAUUCCAGUCAACAUAAUUCAAGUUGACCAGUGGAUUCUAAGUGUGACAGUACGGUGUUUAGCAAGUCCAAGUGAAACCAGAUGGAGGUCAGAGAAUAUGCCUGGCUUCGUCCACAUUAUCUAGUUAUCUGCCUCAACCCUCUAGUUUCAACCAGCUUCAAGUGAAUGUUAAACCAGACUGCUGUAAUCUACACAUGCUUUCACACUUCAAAAGGUGUGUGUUAGUUGAUAUUUGGUUUAGUCAUUUCGUCUCUUGAGAGGAGGGGUUGAAGUUUUUAUUUCCAGUAGUAUUUUAUUUUAUUUUAUUGGAUGAAGUUGUUUUUAUUUCUUUUCUCCAGAAGAGGUAAGGAAGGUUCCUGGAUUAUUGUAUUUGGUUGGUAAACUCUCCUCUUUUUCUCUUUCUGUGUCUGCAUCUCCUCCUUUUUCUCUUUCCCUAUUUCUUCUUCCUCUUCCUUAGGUUUAUAUGAAAUAGAAACAAUUUUCUAGCACAAUGACUAAGUGAAUUGCUACAUUAAAGACUGGCUGGCCAAGAAAUGGUUAAUCUUUGUAUGGCAGGCUUUAGGGACCAACAUCAAAUACAAACAUGUUGGAAAUCUUUUUGUCAUUCCAGCUCAAUUGAUUCAGAAAAAUUUUAAGAGCAAUAGUCAGUGCUUGGAGGAAAAAAGAAUACUAUUGUAAAUUUGAGACGUUCUCAUCUUGAACAUGGCUCUUGUAAAUCACAAGCUUGACAACCUUACAGAGUACAUACAAGCCGUGGUUGACUUCAGAAAUAUGUGUUUUAGACACAGUUUUACAUGAAAGUCAUGAUAUUGUAAAUAUAAUGAUUUAUUAAUAAGUUUAACUUUUGUUAGGAUACUUUGCGCAUAACUACCGCAAUGCAUUAAGAAGGAAGUGUUAAGAAUUUUCAUCCCACAGAUCUGAUGAUUUAAAGUAGUGUUCCAUUUGUGCAGUCAAUAGAAGGAGGUGCAACAAUGAAACAGAAACAAGGCAAAAUCUAUCCAUAUGGGCUCAUCUUAUGACCUGUUCUUGCUGGUAAUUUUGGCGUAUUUUGUGAUGAUUUUUUUUUCCUCUCUUUUUGAAGGCUCAGUAGCUGUACUACUCACUCUACCAGGCCAAAGAGUCAGCGUGAUGGAGAGAAGAUUAGGAAAUCAUGUUUUAAAAUUCUUCUAAUGCAGAUGAAUAUGUCAACAUGAUUUUUCUUUCAUCAGGAGCCUUUUCAGUCACCUGUGGUCCGAAAACAUUAAAUGGAAAUCCGGAAGUAAAUAAUUCAUCAGUUUUAAAUUGUGCACCGUCCUGAGUAGUGUGAUGGAAUCUCGCACCAUCCCUUGUGCCCUGUAAAAUGAAGGUGUAUUCCAGAGAACAAAGGAAGGAUGGAGCUUUUAUAGAGCAUCUUUCUGCCCAGGUUUGCAUUCAGGUAUAUUUUUUCAAAUGAAGGAGUCCACCUUGCUUAGUUCAGGUUGCUCAGUGCAAGUGAUUUCUGAUUGGUUGGUGCAGGCUAUACAGUCUGUUGGUUCAGGUGGCCUGAACAGGAAUGGUAAGCUGCGAAGGUUCGGAGUUAAACAGAUGUGUAGGUUUUCUGGAAACUUGGGGUACAUGUGUGACCAUUAGACUCAGUUAGCCCCUCAGGAUUCAUCUUGAGGGAUUUGCUCUUUGAGGUUCACAGUGAUCAGAUCAACUGUUGCAGUAUCUCAGUGCUUGUGUUCAAGUAACCCUUAUUUUAAUUAAUAAUGACCACAAAGUAUAGGAGUAGUGUUGUUGGCAAUUAGGAUGUGCCAGAGAGAAGAUAGAAAGUGCUUCCUUUAAAUGAAAAGGUGAACGUUCUUGACUUAAGAAGGAAAGAGAAAAAUAUGCUGAGGUUGCUAAGAUUAAGAACAAAUCUAUCCAUGAAAUUGUGAAACAGGACAAGUAAAUUUAUGCUGGUCUUGCUGUUGCACCUCAAACUGCAAAAGUUAUGGCCACAAUGUGUAUUAAGUGCUUAGUUAAGGUGGAAAGGUAAAUUUGUGAGUGGAAGAUACGAACCAAAAAGAUGUUCCAAUUGACAGCAAUGUGUUGUGCCAGAAUCAUUCAGCCUAUAUGACGACUUGAGCAAGGGAUCCCUUGAAAUGAGUUACACCAAGUGAGGGAUAGUUACACAGAUUCAAGAAUACAGAUAAUCAGUAGUAGCCUAAUGCUGCGUCACAAUGCAUACGUCUUUCACCCUACUUCAUCUCAUUACAUAGGCAUUGUACCAUGUCACAUCAUUACAAGAAGAAAGGUGAGUAUAGUACAGUGAAAUAUUUUGAGACAGCCCAUGUUCACAUAACUAUUAUUACAGUAUGUUAUAAUUCUAUUUUAUUACUAGUUAUUGUUAAUAUUUUAUUUUAUGAUUUAUAAAUUAAACUGUAUCAUAGGUAAAUAUGAAUAGGAAAAAACAGUAUAUAUAGGGUUCAGUACUAUCUGGUUUCAGGCAUUGACUGGGGCCUUUGAAUGUAUCUCUUGCAGAUAAGGAGGACUCUUGUACAUCAUGACAUGUGUGGAUCCAAAAUCUCAAAAAAACAAAAAACAAACAAAAAAAAACCAAAAUCUCUUUUUGUGUGUGUACAUGAAUUGUUCCAGCACCAUUUGUUGAAAAGGCUUCCCUUCCUUCACUGAAUUGCCUAUUCACUUUCUUGGAAAUCACUUGUCCAUGUAUGUGUGGAUCUAUUUUUGGACUCUGUUUUGUUCCGUUGAUACAUUUGUGUCUCUUUGCAACCACUCUAUUUUGAUUGCUGUCACUUCAUCAUAAUUCCUGAAGUCAGGUAUCAUUAGCCUCCCAACUUUGUUUUCCUUUUUAGAAACAGCUUGUUAGUUUCUACCAAAAGAUAUCCUGAGAUUUUGACUGGGAUUGCAUUGGAUCUUGUAAAUCAAUUUGGGUAGAAUAGACAUCUUAACAACAUCGAGUCAUUUCUGAGUCUCUCACAUGUAAAACCAUUAUCUGCGUUUAAAAUGUAAACCACUCAGUGUCACCGAUCAUAAACCAAAAGUGAUACUUAGGGUACCUUGAAAUUACAUUAAGCAGAACACUGGGAAUUGGUCUUUUUGCUUGAUUUGCCUGAGUGAUUCUCCACAAAAUCCCCACUUAAUAUGAUAGGUAUGAAUACGGGAUGCCUUAUCCAGAGCAGCUCUCCACAAGCAUCCUCACGCCACAGAUGCCAGUUGACCGUUACGUGUACUCACCUAGCCUGCUGGUACCUGCCAGAUGGUGGGCAUUUUGGGUGAGAUUAUGAUAGAUUUAAGCCAGAGGUUCAGGAAUAUCCACAUUCUCCAAAAAAGAAGAUUAAGCCAUUAUUAUUGGGAGCAGCCUAAUUCUAGUUAUGAAGGAAAGAGAUCAGGGUGCCAUAUGUACUUAGAUAGCCAUGUCUUUUAUAGCACAUAGCCUUUCAUGUUAAAGCUCCGCAUUUUUCUAAAGGAGUAUUGAUUAUAGUAAGGAAGCCAAGGUUCAACUCGUGUAUGUGUCAGGUAGCUGGAUCAUUCAUUACCACCAUAGGUGACACCCAUGUUGAUCAGUUACAUAAAGACCACAAAUGGAAUGGUAACUGGGUCAUUGCAAAUUAACCCUUUCUGAAAGACAGUUCAGGACAUAUUUAUCCUUGAGAGUGAGCCUACACUAUCCUCCUAAGACCUCUCUUUUAAGUGGAGAAUAUACAUUUUGGAAACAAGGUUGUAUUGUGGUUGAGGGCAUGAAGUCAACCUGCCUGAGUUCAAAUCACCACUCUGCCCUUUUCUAACUUUUCAAAUUUAGGGAUUCACUUAGUUUCUCUAAGCCUAUUUUCUUUGAGAAUAUGGAAAAUUAUUAUAGUAACAUGGGGAAAUUAAAAGUGAGUAAUUGUACAAGUUUAGUGCACUUGAUAUGUUUUGUUUUUAGCAUAUUUUCUCCAUUUUUCCUUUUUCCUUUUGUGUGUUCUUGUUGCCAGUGACUACCUGUGAAAUGUAAACUGUUGAGUGAACUGCUUUUGCUUUACUUUCUGUGAAUUACUUGUUCUACUCACUGUGUUCUGUCUCUUCCAUUCCCUCCGAACACUUUUGAUCUUUUCGUUUUGCCCCAGUCUUCUUUCAUUUAAAAACUAAUUUCUCCCAAGAAGCCUGCUCUAUAAAGGAUGUGUAGAUUAGAUGAGGUGUGGGAAGCAUGUUUACUUAUAAAGCAACACAAUACCCUAUCCAUAUCCAGCCUGUAAAAAUAAAAAUCUAAGUGCUUUUUUUUUUUUUCCCUCCCAAGUAAAGAGAAAAGUUUCAGGGUUAUAUCCUUAACAUGUAAUUAAGAGAGUUCAAGAUAUUUUAUGUUCUAUAUAGCAAUGCAGAGAAUAUUUAAUAAGCAUUAACAAAAAAACUUAACCUUGUGGUAGAUAGCAUUGUACUAAUUAACAGUUUAUUUUAUUUAGCUACAAGAACUAUGUCAGCAUGAGAGCUAACACUACUUAUGUUUGACAAUUUUAGAAUAGGAAUAAGGUAAAAAUACUCAACAGAGAUAAUGGUAGCUUGCAAACCGUUUAUGUCAAAUAUAUUAAAAUUUGGAAUAGUUGAAGACUAGAAUCCAAAUUCAAGAGUAAUUAACCAAAAUAGUUGACAGAUGUCAGCCAUGCUAAUAAAAUUUGUAUACCCUGAAUAUUUUCCAGCUUGUAAUUAACUGCACAGAUGAUGUGAUCUGAUUUUGUCACUAACUGCUUAUUAAUGAAGGAGAUGAUGACUAGUUACAAAAUCCAUAGUGCUAGCUGAAUUCCAAGUUUAAAUGUUUCUCAUACAGCCGGCAUUAAUUGGAGCCACACUAGCCUCCAUGCUGGUUUGAUUUGUGCUUACUUUCUUCAUUUGUAAUUGCGAAGGGGAAACUGAAUUUGUUAAAUUCAGCUCUGAGUGACCUUGAAGAUAGUAAAUCUGUUUUUAUUUGGUGGUCAGCAGCGUAAUGGCUUUUAUUUUUAGAUUCUUUCUUAUAAAUGUAUUGUCAUCAGGCUAGUGAUAUCACCAUUGGAAGUUGUAUAAUAAAGUGCAAACUGAUUAUUUCAAGUUCAGCUAAACCACAGCAGAACAUGAUGUCAAUAUGACUGAAGAUGUGAACACAGAGUGCUAUUAACAAAUGGUUUAAUAACAAAAGAGCAUUAUUUAUUUCUAUCAUAUACAUAGCACGGAAGCCUGAGAAGAAGCAAAAGGAUUCAAGAGAGGCGGUUGUGCAGCCUUCCUGCCUGCGCCAGCUCUCUCCCAGACUCCUAUACUGCUCUUCCUUCUUUACCUUACGUUGCUGUUUCCCUUUUUACUUCUUUCCCUGGAAAGGGCGGGUUUAAUUCUGUCCUUAUUUAUAAGACAGAGAUGUUUGCUACCUCCUGAGCCCAAGUCUGCCAGCUGUUGGCCUUCUUCUUUGGGUGGUCUCCCUGGCAGUGUGGUCUUACAGUAUUUAUGUCUGCCUGCUAGCUGGUUUUGCCUGUUGGACAUCUCCACUUGGAUGUCUACCAGACAUCCCCAACUUCCAUGUUCUUAGUGUCACUUUAAUUUUCCUUUCCCCAAAUUAUUUUCUCUACCGUAGUCUCUUCUUUCUUAUUUUUGUAUUUCUGUGUUUAGGAGUGCUUAAUGAAUAUUUAUUGAGUCAAUGGGUGAUUUCAUGAUACAAUUAUAGUAGCAGGUAGUACUAAAAAGAGGAACUAUUUUCUCCUUAUUUAAGAACUUUUUAUAAGAGAACUCUAGUUUUUCAAAAUUCUGUUUAAAAUGGGCCACCCAGAACUGGACACACUCUUCUGUUGUUCGUUAGUGUUCGCCUUAGAUGGCCCCACCUCUCUGUCCCCUCUCUCUAGCUAUGUAUAUUUCUUUUCAACAGUCAGUUGUUAGAUUGCUGUCCUUGAUUGGUUUUCUGUUUUCAGUAGGCCAGUCCCCAGCUAAAUUGGGUGACCAACUUGGCUAAUGUCCAGUUUUAUCUAAAGUGAUGUUCCCUGUUUGCACAGAUGACUUUUUAAAAUCUCCUGCAAAUGUGAUCCCCUUUAGAGCCCUACCUGCAUGGUUUGAAUAGCCUCAGUAGCCAAUUUCACAAACAAAAAUGUAAGGUCUAUGUGAUGUAGAGUAAUAAGAUAAGAAACUAUUUCCUACUUACAAACUACUUUGAAAAAUUUUGAAAGAUGAGUUUAAAAUGUUUAAAACAUUGGUAAUACCAGCAGAGUCAGUAGGCAUAUUUGUAGGAUACUUAGUAUAAAUUUUGGUGUAUUUAUUUUCUUAAAAUAAAUCACAGUGAAAUCAUAUUAUUGUAUCUUAUAAAAUGCCUUACUCUGUUGAAAAGGCAGAUUUAUAUUAAAAACCUACUAGCUGCAUUUAUAUUAAAAUUGUUCACCUUAUUAACAGGUCAAACAAUAUAUUCUUUUAAGAAUUCACAUUUUAACACUUGGGUUUCAGCUGAUAAAACUUAUAUGCAUUUGGGUAUAAUCUUAGAUACCUACAAAACAGCACCAAGACAAAAAUGGGCUCAAUAAUAAUGAGAGAGCAAGUAUUUUAAAGAAAACAGAAUUUACUGACUUUUACCAUGGUUAGGUUAAGUUAGGUUAAACUGUGGAAGGAAAUUGUGCUGUCUCUCCCCUAAAAAGUUUAAGAGCAAAUUAUCAUCUUGAAUGGUUUAGUUAUUCACAUGACUGAAGUUAGGAACCAUUCCUUUUAACUUUUUAUUUUGAAAUAAUUAUAGAUGUGUAAGGACUUGCAAAGAUAGUACAGAGAGCUCUUUGUGCUCCUCACCUGGUUGCUCCUAAUGGAUAUUGCUUAUAUAAUUUAGUACACAUCAAAAUCAGAAAACUGACAUUGGUACAAUGUAUAUGUGUGGUUCUAUGUCAUUUUAUGAACCUUCCUUGAACUCUUCUUACCCCACACUGUUUAUAACUGUCUUACAUAUUUCUUCUACACACAUUAAGAAUCACAUUAGACAAUAUUAUUUUUGUUUCAGCCAUCAAACAUAAUUUAGAAAACUCAAGAGAAGACAGUCUAUUGUGUUUACCCAUAUUUUUGCUUAUGUUUUUUCUUCCUUCCUUUCCUUCCUGAUGUUCUAAUAUUCUCUUAUCACUUUUGUUUUUUUCAACUUUCUUUACAUAUUCUUGAGGGUCGGUCUACUGGAGACAAAUUCUCUUUAUUAUUUCAACUGAGAAUGUCUUAAUUUUUAUCUUCAUUUGCCAAGGAUAAUUUUGCUGGAUAUAGAAUUUGCAGUUGACAGCUCUUUUCUUUCAGCCCUUGAAAAAUGUUCUAUUGCUCCCUUCUGGUCCUCUUUAGUUUCUAAUGAGAAAUUCUGUCAUUUGAGUUGGUUUCCCUGUUAGGUAAGAUCUCAUUUCUUUCUCAAGACAUGCUAAUAAUCAUAAGAUUGGUUAUUGUAAUUCAAGCAGCUACUAUGUGCUUGGCAUGGUGUAUGCUGUCUGUAACCUUGAAACCCUCUAUUAUCUCUAUUUUGUGGAUAAAGAAUCUGAAACUCAUGCAAGUACAUUAACUUAGCUAAGGUCACACAAUUUAGAAAUGUUUGAGUUAAGGUAUGAACCAAGGCUUGUGUGCAUCUAAAAUUUUUGCACUUUAUCAUACAAUUGCGGAAAGUUGGAGACAAUCUUAUAGUUGAUAAGUUUUCUACCAGCAUCUUACAGCAAAAAUUACAAUUUUUCUGCCAGUCCUUUCUUUGACUUUGAGUAGAAUCUUAAAAAGACACUGUGUAAGAGCCACGAAACUUCCUUGCAGAAGCUGUAUCAUGCUAAAUGUUUUGGAUCAAUUCAACUCAAUUUAAUAAGUCUCUGCUUUUAAUUUCAUUUUCUCACCGUGCAUUAUAAAAUAGCAUUUGUAGAAUAAGUUAAUAAUAAUUUUAAGCAAUACCUAUUUUCAAACAAGACAAAAUUAUUAUUCUAUUUGAAUUCAAUCCCUAACAAAUAACUAGUAUCAAAUCAGUGGUACUGCAAAGAAUAGUUAAUAUCCAGGGUAUUGUUUUAGCUGCAAGUGUUUGUGGAUUACUGAACAGUCAAGUGGGUUUGCUUUGAGAUUAUUGCUUUCCCAUGUGUUUAUUCUCUUCACAGUCUUUUUCAGUUGUUGCCUGGUUCAUCUUUUUAGACAUCAUGUAAUUGGUAGAACAACAGUCAAGAAAAAGGUUGAAAAAAAAUACAGAUGAGUUCUCUGGAGAUACGAUGAAGCAAUCUGAGUGAAUCAUGAUGUGCAGUGGGCUUUAGGUUUCUAUUUUUGUGCAAGGGACCGAUUAUAGAGCUCUGAACUUGAAAUCUUAUUAAAAUCUCUGAAGAUGCAGUAGAAUACAUCUCAUUUAAGAAGUGUUCUCUAAGAGAUUUAUAAUUCAGUAUUGUUUAUAUAUGUCUUAGUAUAUUAGAUAUUAUUCAUUAACCUAUAUUAGAGGAGACAAUAUUUUACUUAAUAUUUUCUUAAGUUACAAAAGUAAAAUAACUUAAUAGUAACAAUUGGAAUGAUUAACAUAUUGUGAAGCGAAACUUAUCUUUACCCUAGCUGAUUGUGUACCAUCUCUUCUCAAAUAAUGUGAUAUUAAUCUCCAACUGAUGUUAACAUUGUAGGGUGUAUCUCUUCAUACUCUUCCCCAUGCUCAAACAAGUACACACACACACUCACUUACUCUUCACAUGUGUUGGACUUCAAUAAUAAUAAAUGUAUGCUUCAUAAAUUGGACCAUUCGCUAAGUUGCCCCCCACCCCAUUCUUCUAGGACAGUAUGUAUAGAACAGAAUCACUUAAAAUUAACUGGAGUGUAUUCUAUAGUAUGAAUGUACUAAUUAAUUCAGUUAUUGCAUAUUGAUGUACAUUUGGGUGGCUUCCUGUGAGGUAUUGUUUUUUGUUUCUGUUAUAAACAAUGAGACGGUAAAUAUCUUAGCUUAUAUAUCUUUUUUUUUUUUUUUUUUUUUUGAGAUAGAGUUUCACUCUCGUUGCCCAGGCUGGAGUGCAAUGGCAUGAUCUCGGCUCACCGCAACCUCUGCCUCCCGGGUUCAAGUGAUUCUCCUGCCUCAGCCUCUCGAGUAGCUGGGAUUAUAAGCAUGCGCCACCAUGCCUGGCUAAUUUCGUAUUUUUAGUAGAGACAGGGUUUCUCCAUGUUAGUCAGGCUGGUCUCGAAUUCCCGAGCUCAGGUGAUCCACCCACCUCAGCCUCCCACAGUGCUGGGAUUGCAGGUGUGAGCCACUGCACCCGGCCUAUAUAUCUUUAUUCUUACACAACAAUGCUUUGAUUUCCAGAGGGUAGGUUUCUGAUAAUGGGACUGACAGUUCAAGGGAUAUGUAUACUUAACAUUGUAUAGAUAUUAGUAGAUUUCUUUCCUAAAUGUUUACUGCAGUCUUGUAUAAGGUUCAUUUUAUCACAUCUUUAACAGCACUAGGUGUUAUCACUCUUUAAGCAAAUGUGAUCGGUGAAAACUGCUAUCUCGUUGCUUUAAGUUGCAUUUGCUGAAUAUUGGUGAAGUUGAACGGCUUAUGUUUAUUGGCCAUUUCAGUUUUGUCUUGUGUGAAUUUCUGCUCAUAUUAUCUGGCCAUUUUUCUAUUGAGUUGCCUUUUACUUACCAGUUUCUGGGAGUAGUUUUUAUAUUAGGGAUAUUAACUGUUUGGUUAUUUAUUUUGGAAGUUUUCCCAGUCUAUGUAUUUUUGAAGUGGUUUAGGGUAUUUUUUUUUGCUCUAGAAUAAAUUAAAAUAUAUGUAAUCACAUUGAUCUAUCUUUGUUUAGGUUUUCCAUCUUAGUUCUACAAAUAUUUGCCUAAAUUCUCUUAUGAAUGUUACUGUCUUAUUUUUUAUAUAAAUAUCUUUUAAUUCAUCUGGAUUUUACUUCUAUAUAUGGUGAGAUAUGUGAGUCAAGCUUUGCAUUUUUGUAGAUAUCUAGCCACUUAUUAUGCUAAUGCCAUUUAGUAAAUAAACCACCCUUUCUUUCUGAA